UGGCAUUAAACUGUAUUAUAUCUCCCAACCUAACUUUUAAAAAGUAUAGUCUAAUUACAAAAGUUUGUAUUCUUGAUGUGAGCACCAAGAAGCUAAAGGAAGCAAAGCUCAGUUACUUAAUUUAAUAACAUUUACAUGUUAAUCAGUUGUAGUAUUCCUCUUCUACUUCACUUUAAACCUUUUUAUCUGGAAGGUUCUUUUGUGAGAAUUUUAUAGUUUGUUCUCUACUGCAUCGUAAGUUGAUCUAAUUAUCACCUUACCACAUGGGAAUGUGUUCUUGACAUUUCUGCAGUUGACUUAAUGAAAAUUUGUAAUGCAGAUCAAGUCUAUGAAGGAAAUGUAUGUUCAAAAGCUCUAUCGUCUAUACCAGAAAAUUGCUUAUGAACUGCAACUGGUAUGCCGUCACUAUCCCUCUUAAGUGCUUCAUAAUAGUGCAAAAUUUUGGUAGACUCCCUAGCAAGUUUUGUCAGCAUGCACCAAUGUGUAAUGCAUUUUGUAGUCUAUUGGUUAUUGGAAACUCCUCUAAUCUCUUUGCAUGUUUCUCACACCUAUUAUAGCUCCUUCUUACAUAUAUUCUCUGGCAUUUAUAUUUGAUAAAAACAACUUGAUUUGCCGAACGUAAUCCUAGAAUAUUAUCUAACUGGGAAAUGAUGCAGAUAGCUCAAAACUCUAAAUGCACAUUUUUGCUUCUUUGGUUGAUUUUCUGUUAUCGUGAGAAACAGUAUUCUCAUAGUGGGAAUAUGUUAUAGUGUAGUUAACUCCCUUUCAUUUCUAGCAUCAGCAUCAUUUGUUUGUGUUGAAGCAUUGUGAAUGAUUGUGAAAUCGAGGUGGUGGUGGACACCAUAAAGGGAGUUAUUUACACAUAUCUAGGUAGACAUUGCAGUGUAGAUGUCAUUUUAUGUUAGUUUGUUUUCCUUUUGGCAAAGGAAUCAAGGCUUCCCAAGCUCAUCGGGCAAGGGCUUGAUUUAUCUGAAUUUAAAGAGCACUUGAGUCAACAUUCUGCUGAAUUUCGGGAACCUUGCGAGCUAUGUUAUUUGUCUUUUUAUGCCAUUUCUUGAAUUUUCCUCCAUUUUUCUUUGCCGUGGGAGGUACUUGAAGCAUGUAUUUCAAAAGUUUGCAAAGGGUAAGAAACAGGACUGUGACUAAACUGAUUUUUGUUUCCGAUUUGAUGCAGGACUCUCUUCAUCAGCGUCGUACAAAUGAGCAAAUUGAAAAGCUCAAGCUGUACAAGAUAGCAUUGGAACGCAUUUUGUGUUUCUUGGGGCUUAGCAAGCAUGAUAUUCAACCUGCUCACAAGGAGAAACUGCUUUCGGUUGAGAAGCUCAUAAAUUUCUUUUUUAGUCCCUCUCAGCAGCGAAAGCCUACUUCUUCUCCAGUGCAGGAGCGACUUCCUCAGUCUUCCAUGCUGCUUCAGCAACCACAAUCACUUGAUGGUCAAACUAAUCCAUCGAUGCAACCCGUACACGGCCCGUGGAAGGUAAUGUGACAAAACAAUUUGACCAACUUGCAACAUAUUUGUUUGGAUAAUUCACUACUACUUCUACUUCAUAUUCGUAGAAUUGCAGGGGGAUUUCCCAUUGGGGGUCUCGGGUUUAAGAUGUUCAUGUAUGCUUUCUCAAUUGGGCUCGUCGCACAAGGAUUGUUUAGUGAGGGUUUACCUCUCCUAUGUGGUUUGUUGACGAGGUUUACUUUGUGUGAACCCUAAGGCUAGCGAAUGCGGAUUCCCUGGUCAUCAAAAAGGUUUAAAAAAUGAUGAAGCCCACAAGGUCUUGGUCUAGUGGUAAGAGUGAAUUUGUGACGUAUGGGUUAGAGGGGUGUCACCGGUUCAAACCUGUUAUAGUCUAAAACCGUUAUUUAAGUGAGUGGAGAAGGGUAGAGCGUGGACCCAUUAUCAGUCGAUUUUCUAACUCUGCCAUUCGCCUCGGGGGUUUUCGGCUAUAAAAAAGGGUAAAAAAUAAUGAACAACAACAUACUUGGUAUAAUCAUACUGGUGGGGUUUGGGGAGGGAAAUAUGUUUGCAUACCUUACCCUACCUUUGUGGGGGUAGAUAGACCGCUCAAAAGAAGUGUAUUAAUUCGUAAAAUUAAUUGUAAUUACAAUAUUAUCCAAACACAAAGUGAACUUAUGAGUGGCAAUCAAAAUUUUGUGUUGGAGGUUUGUACUUUUUAAUAGUAUAGAUUAAAAGAUUGAAAUAUUAAUAUAUAACCAAAUACCCAAUCAAUACCCUAGUGUAAAGUGGGAAACUUAGCUUUCUUAGACAAGUACAUUUGGCGGGAAGUUAAAAUGUAUUAAUAUACCUGAAAUGUCUAGCACUACCCCAAAAUUUGCCUGAAAUUUUUAUGAUGCAAGCAACCAACUUCUGUAAUAUUUGUGUUAUGCUCAAUUUUUGUUUUAUUUGUAGCACUUUUCGAUUCUACAAUUCCGACGGGAAAUGCAAAUGGGGUUGAUUGGCACUUGGCAGGAAGAGGUUUACCAGAAGGUAUGUUCGUAACGGUAUUUUAGUUGGACAAGAUUUUGGAAACUGUGGAAUUACAUAAACUGGCUGUUUAUAACAUUAUAAGAAAUAGUUGUAUGUUUUGAAAUAUUUCCUAUGAUUAUAGAGUAAUAGAAGAGGUUUACCAUACCAACUGUUCAGCUAAAUUCAUGGUCGUACCCCUCCCCCGCAAGGUGCUUUAUAUAUUCCAUGUUUUAGAAAAAACAGAAAUUGAGCAUGUUACCUGAUAACUUGUUAGAAACUGGUAUAUUCUCAAUUUAGAAGCACUACUACAACUACAAUCCUAAGCAAGUUGAGGUCGAUUAUAUGAAUCCUCACCGUCAAUGAUGCACUGUUUGUGCUUGUCUUCAUCCAAUAUUGUUAACGACAAAAAAUUAGUUUCACAAGCACUGGCAUAAUUGAGAAGUCAAGUACUCUUUGAUAAAUUAAUUGAUUAUAGAAAACUAGUUGUUGAAUACUAAGAUCAUAUCGUCUUAAUUCAAGAGGUAAUAUGUCAAUAAGUUUGGAUCAAAGUCGUCUUAGUAUGUCACCAAUUUGUGUUACUAGCUAGGAAUAAGUUGGAAUACUUUGAUUUCUCCAAGAAUGAACAUGUAACACUAACAUGCUUUGUAUACUCCAUUCCUGUCAUUUUUCACUUGUGAAGGGUGUAAAGUUCAAAAAAUUUAGAAAAUGAUGAUUUCCAUUAAACCAUAUUAUAUUCUCCAAAUCCAAUGUUACUGUUAGAAUAGGAAUAGGUUUAUACAAUCCUAUUAGAAUAGGAAUAGAAAUAGAAAUAGGAAUAGUAAAUAGUAUCCUACUUGGUAAAGGAUUGUAUUCUAGUAUCUAUAAAUAGGGUCUCAAUGUAAUAAUGUAAACAACAACAAUUUAAUAAUAUUCUUUUCUUAUAUUUCUCACAUGGUAUCAGAUCCUCUAAGAUCUUAGUAGAAAAUCAAUGAGCUUCCGCUGCCGGCGGGUGGCACCCAUAUAUGCCGCCCGUCUGACCAAUGAUUAUGUUAGCAAAAGUUGGUCACCGUAUAUCUUUCUGGUGACUAUUUUCUCAUAUCUAAUUUGUGUAGCACCGUGCCAUCAUUCCGGUGACUACUUUCUUAUAUUUUAUUUGUGUAGCACUGUGCCAUCAUUCCAGUGACUACUUUUUCAUAUAUAAUUUGUGUAGCACUGUGACAUUCUUCCGGUGACUUACCUUUUUUUGCAUAUCUGUUUUGUGUAACACCGUGCAUCUCUCCCGGACUACUUUUCAUAUUUAAUUUGUGUAGUACCGUGGAUUUUUUUCCGACCUAUUUUCUCAGAGUUGCAUAGCAUCAUGUGUCUUUUCAGUGACUCCUCAGAUUUGAUUUGCAUAGUUCCAUUCGUCUUUUCGGUGACUCCUCAAAUCUAAUUUGCGUAGGGUUGUGCCAUCAUUUCAACCCUAUUCGUAUAAUUUUUCUUUUUCAGUUGGGUCGUGCCAUCAUUUCGACCCUACCCCUAUUAUUUCUCUUUUCUAUGGGAUCGUUCCAUCAAUUCGAACUAUCCUAUCCAUAUAAUUUAUUUUUAAAUUGUGACCUCUUUCAGUCAUCAAAUCUAAUACUGCGGCGUAUGAGCAUUUUUCGGCCAAUUUUUUCGGUGACUUUCUUGUUUAAUAUUGACUCGUCUAUUGAUUCCAACAUGAUCGAUACAUUUUAUACUAGAUUUUGAGCACUUCCGGCGACCGUUGCAUUGUGAAGAAGUCUAUAUGGAGCAACUACCUGAUUAUGUUACUCAAGGAGAGUUUAGUAGUCUUGUAUGUCAAUUGUGUUAGUCACUCUAUGGUCUAAAACAGUCUUUGCAAGUUUGGUUUAGGAAGUUCAAACCUGUAAUUAUAUCACUCUGUGUUUUAUCGGCAUUAUGCAUCAAAUUCAGUAUCUCAUGAGAAGACCAAGCACAUUGAGAUUGAUUGUCAAUUUUGUGAAGUCGAGUGAUCAACUUGCAAAUAUCUCACCAAGCCCCUCAUCGGUCCUCAUGUUAAUUACAUUUGUAACAAGCUAGGUACAUGAAUUGUAUGCACUAGCUUGAGGGGGAGUGUUAGAAUAGGAAUAGGUUUAUACAAUCCUAUUAGAAUAGGAAUAGUAAAUAGUAUCCUACUUGGUAAAGGAUUGUAUUCUAGUGUCUAUAAAUAGGGUCUCAAUGUAAUAAUGUAAACAACAACAAUUUAAUAAUAUUCUUUUCUUAUAUUUCUCACAAAGUGGUAUGGGGACCACUUUCUGAGGUAUCUCCGCUUCUUUCUCUGUUGCAUUCUCAGACUCUUCUCUAACCUCUAUCACAUCAUCUUCUUUUCUAAUCUCAACUUCCACCAUAGACGGCCUAGGUGGAUCUAUGGUUUGCUUACCCCCUCGAGUAGUAAUUGCCAUACAAAGCAUGUUGUAACACUAACAUGCUUUGUAUACUCCAUUCCUGUCAUUUUUCACUUGUGAAGGGUGUAAAGUUCAAAAAAUUUAGAAAAUGAUGAUUUCCAUUAAACCGUAUUAUAUUCUCCAAAUCCAACGUUACAAAAGUAUAUUCUAAUUCCUCCUGGUUGGCUGGUCUAUGAUCACAUUAUGGAAGCAAACCUCAGUCGCUUAUUUUACCAUCUACAUGUUAAUCAGUUGUAGUCUUCCUCUUUAACUUUACUUUUAACCUUCUUAUCUGGAAGGUUCUUUUGUGAGGAUCUCUAGUUUGUUCUCUACUGUAUCGUAAGUUGAUCUAAUUAUCACCUAACCACAUGGGAAUGUGUUCUUGACAUUUCUGCAGUUGACUUAAUGAAAAUUUGUAAUGCAGAUCAAGUCUAUGAAGGAAAUGUAUUAUUCAAAGCUCUAUCAUCUAUACCAGAAAAUUGCUUAUGAACUGCAACAGGUAUGUCAUCAACAUCCCUCUAAGUGCUUAUUAAUAGUUCAAAAUUUUGGUAGACUCCUAGCAAGUUUUGUCAACAUGCACCAAGGUGUAAUGCAUAAUGUAGUCUAUUGGUUACUGGAAACUCCUCUUAUCUCUUUGCAGGUUUCUCACACCUAUAGGCUAUUAUAGCUCCUUCUUACAUAUAUUCUCUGGCAUUUAUAUUUGAUAAAAACAACUUGAUUUACCGAACGUAAUCCUAGAAUAUUGUCAGACUGGGAAAUGAUGCAGAAAGCUCAAAACUCUAAAUUCACAUUUUUGCUUCUUUGGUUGAUUUUCUGUUAUCGUGAGAAACAGUUCUCGCAUAGUGGGAAUAUGUUGUAGUGUAGUUAACUCCUUUUCAUUUCUAGCAUCUGUAUCAUUUGUUUGUGUUGAAACAUUGUUUUUGAUUGUGAAGUCGAGGUGGAAGCCAUAAAAGGAGUUAUUUUCACAUAUCUAGGUGGACACUGCAGUGUAGAUGUCAUUUUUAUGUUAGUUUGUUUUCCUUUUGGGGAAGGAAUUAAGGCCUCCCAAGUUCAUUGGGUAAGGGCUUGAUUUAUCUGAAUUUAAAGAGCACUUGAGUCAACAUUCUGCUGAAUUUCGGGAACCUUGCGAGCUGUGUUGUUUAUCUCUUUAUGCCAUUUCUUGAAUUUUUCUUCCUUUUUCUUUGCCGUGGGAGGUACUUGAAGCAUGUAAUUCAAAAGAUUGCAGAGGGAAAGAAACAGGACUGUCACUAAACUGAUUUUUUUUACUGAUUUCAAGCAGAACUCUCUUCAUCAGUGUCGUACAAAUGAGCAAAUUGAAAAGCUCAAGAUGUGCAAGAUAACGUUGGAACGCAUUAUGCUUUACUUGCAGCUUAACAAGCAUUAUAUUCAACUUGCUCACAAGGAGAAACUGCUUUCGGUUGAGAAGCACAUAAAUUUCUUUCUUAGUCCCUAUCAGCCACCAAAGCCUACUUCUUCUCCAGUGCAGGAGCAACUUCCUCAGUCUUACAUGCAGCUUCAGCUACCACAAUCACUUGAUGGUCAAACUAAUCCAUCGAUGCAACCCGUACAGGCAAACCUCGGUACCCUACAGCAAAAUUCAAACGCCCUGCAACAGUCAUUUCCUAAGAAGUGCAAGCAGCAAACUGUUGCAGAACCAGCAAUUAAGAGAGCAGUCCCACCAUCGGCAGAUGCAGCAGCAACUUUUUAAAAGACAGAAGUUAAUGCAACAGCAGCAAGCGAAGCAACAGUAGACCAUGCUAUUGCCAACCCACCAGAUGUCACAGCUUCAACAGUCUUCGAUCCAGCUUCAGCAACCACAAUCCCUUGAUGGUCGAAACUAAUCCACAGAUGCAACAAAACAAUAUUAUUGACUUGCAACAUGAUUGUUUGGAUAAUUCAAUUGCUUAUAACUCGUGCACUUGUUAACUCAUGCACCCUUCCCUAGAUUAUGUGAAGUAUUGCAAUUAUUAUGAUAAAUUACUUAAAUUUCAUGUGAGAAUUCAGGAUAAAAUUUGAAAUAUCCAUCUCCAUAUUUUUCUCUGUUUGGAUGUUUAGCAACACUUGCAAGCAAAGGUCACAAUUUUUCUCAAAAAUUUUACGGUCUCUUUUUUCCUUCAAUUUAUUUCUUUGAUUGGUAUGUUUCCUUCAAUAAUGAUACUAUUUUAAUUGGUUUUCAAAUAUAAAAGUUCAUUAUACUAUUUUGAUGAUAAUAUUAACUAUAGUUUACUUGUCAAUUUGUUGUCUUAGCAAAGUUUUAUAGCAUUAAACCUAACAAUGGUAUAGUGUAUUCAUCAUUUUGAAAUCUUGGAUACACCUCUAAGCACAAAAAAACGAACUAUGAAUAAAACAUUUGAUUGAUAUUCUUUUUUUUUUUUCGUUUCAGAACUCUUGAGAUAGAUAAGACUAGCAAAAUUUGUAACCUACUAGUCUCUGGGAACGUGUGUUGCAUGUUUGUUUUGUACGAAUAUACAUUUAAGUUACAAAUCAUAAAUGAAUUGAUUUUCAUAUUGAAUAGGAGAUGAUUUAUGAAGUAACUAUAUAGUAAGGAUGAUGAUUUUUAAAAAGAAACAUAUAUAUAUGAUGUGAUUAAAUAUAUGUUUCUAUGUACAAAUGAAAUAUGUAUCUUUAUAAGAUUAUAAUCUCGUUUUUAUAAUUACAUAUAAGAAGUUGUAGUGGGGAAUGAAAUUUACUUUUUAUUCAAGUAUUAUAGAGAUUCGAACAACAUAUGUCUUCUUAUGAUGGAUAGUAAAUCAUUAUGAAUUUUAUGGAAUAUAUCUACAAAGAAAUAUAUAACAGUAUCAUGGUUAGUUCAAUCAUAAUAAAAUCACUUUAUAAGCAAAUAAGAAGGACAAUCUCAAAUUCAUGUUCCAUAUUACAUAAAGCUUGCUAAAAAAAUAGUAAAUGCUAAAACUUCUUUUUCUCAACAAAAUACCUAAAGCAACAAGUUUUAAAAUUUCAUAGAAAAAGAAAAUUUUAGUUACACAAUAUAACGAAGAUACAAAAUGCAUCAAUAAUAUUUAAUAUUCCGUCUUUUCUUCUUUUUACUUCACACCCCAACCCUAGGUGAGGCGGACAAGUACCAUACGAACACAUGCUUUACAAGCGACGUAUGAUGAGAAAGUAAACGUCUAUGCAGAUAGAUAUACUGAUGAGAAGCUUCAUAUACAACACAUGUUGACUAGCUGAACCGAUACAUGUGACAAGUGAAACUAUGAAUAUAGAUGAUAGCUUUACAAUGUCUACAAAACCUCUACUAGAAUCCAUGACUGUACCACCGAAAAUAUGCAUAGUAAAGACUCGGCAAAGCCCCGAAUCAACCUGGAGCUCACCAACAACCGUUGAGUAUCAUGUGCUUCUAUUGGGGAGAUCUACUAGUUGAGUACUUGUACCUGCAGCAUGAAAUGAAGUGUUCCCAAUAAGGGACGUCAGUACGAAAGAAUCUACUGAAUAUGUAAGGCAUAAUACAACCAUAUGUAAAAUGAGAGCUCAAGUGAAACCAAAUACCAAUAGAUAAGGAUUAGAGACCACCUUUGCUUAUACUGGUGGAAUCGUGUAUGUUACAUUCUUUUCUUUACUUUUCUGUGCAUUAUAAUAUUUAUAAGAUGUAUGACACAAAUGACCAAUUGAUCAUUGGUAGAAGAGGAUGACCCAUUCUAGGCAUUUUAACCCAUGGGAUGUUGUCCUCAUAAUUCCACAAAUUAGGAUCGGCCCAUGCUAGGCUUUCGCCCCUGAGCUGCUACCUUUCCAUACCAAUUGGGAUCGGCCCAUGCUAGACUUUUGCCCCUGAGCUAUCACCCUUCUAUACCAAUUGGGAUCGACCCAUGCUAGGCAUUUGCCCCUGGGCAGCCGCCCAUAAUUAUACAGAUAGCUUCACUUAAAUUCUUUAUCUUUGAGAUUGUUGUUUUGAUGUUCAUAACUCUUUUGAGAUUGUUCUUUUGAUAAUCAUAACUCUUUUGAGAUUGUUGUUUUGGUGGUCAUAAUCAUUGUUGAGAGUUGGAACUACGAACCACUAGUAGAAGACAUGUGAAUAUGGACGUACGAUAAUAACAAUGACAUGGGAAGCAAAUAUGAUACCAACGUAAUAUUUAGGAGCUUAUAUGACUCAGUAAGCAUUUUGACAUCUCAAAUUAAAGCACAUAUCAAGUGAAGACAUUUAACUUUCAGCCAAGAAAUUUGAACUCUAUAUGGUAGCCAAAUACUCACUAACUCAAAUACAAGGUAUACAUGAAAGUGGAACCAAGGGAGAACGUAGGCAGAUUCAACUCAAGGACAAAUACAUAUUCCAAGUAAGUACAUAUAAAAUGUACAAUAGAGCAAGUAGGGAUCUUGUGAGGUAACAUUAUAGUCUAACACAAUGGGAGUAAUAACCAAUAAAGGGAACAUAUGAACAUGUGACAAGAUGACAUAUAUAUAGACAAUUGAAGCAAGUUGGCAUGAUAUGGGCAGAUUGUAUAUCCAACAUAUAAACAUAUGUACCAUGUGUAAUCUAGGAUCAUUUUGAUUUAUAUAAGGGAAAUACAUGCCAAUGGUACUUUGACGAUGAAACAAGUUUAAACCUUGCAUGCUAAUACUUGGUAGUGUAAGCACAUACAUUUAGUAACAAACUCGUAUUAGAGUGCUCAAACAAGCUCAUAACUGAAUUUAAAGAGGACUCCCCUCCAUGGCUGUCCCAACAUGCACUAAUCACCAGAAUAUCCUCCCCAAUAUUACACCAUGUAAAAGGAACAAAUUCCAACUCACUAACACAUACCAAAUGUCCUAAUUAACUCAAGAACAAGAGAGAGAAAAUUGCAGUAGCUUACCUUGCUGGACAGAACUACCACUUGCUAAGACUUGGAUUCUUCAAGGUAAAUGUUGUCCUCCUUAAACUUGUCUUAAAAUUAUACCUUUCCAAAUAGGAUUGAAACUCCCUAAUAUUCAAGAACCCUAAUGGUAUUUAAUGGCUGUUUUAUGAAGCUAAGCGAAAGAAGAGAGAAAGCUCUUGAAAUCAGAUUUUUUUGUCAAAGUAAAAAUGGUUGGAAAAAGCUGAUAUCAAUCCCUUUUAAAAGUACCUGCUUUGGUCGACUUCCUCACUCAUUUUGGGCCAUAAUUUGUCAAGUAGGUUAUCCACCUACUUGGACUUUUCACUUGGGCCUUGGCUGUCCAUUUUCCCCUUAUUCUUCUAAUCAACUUGGGCCAGAUUAAUGAAAGUAGGUGGUAGUGUACUUGGCCCAAUAACAUGGUCAAAAGAGUUUUAGUAGGUGAUGCACCUACUUAAUCCUUUAGGCUGGUCAAUAAGUCAAAGUAGUUGAUGUACCUACUUGGUCCUUUGGGCUGGUCAAUGAGUCAAAGUAGGUGAUGCACCUACUUGGUCCUUUGGGCUGGUCAAUAAGUCAAAAUAGGUGAUGCACCUACUUGUCACCUACUAGCUUAGUUAAGUCAAGCAAGCACCUCAAUAUUUUAUUCCAUUUAUAGACCUUAAUACCUUUAACUUAACUCAAAACGUUUAUACACUAUGUCACUUUAAACUUUAGACUCAAAUACCACCUUAUGAUCUCAAGUUUAACUACUUCCAUCGACAUCAACUUAAUCGGGUCGCAUCAAAAUCUACGGACAGUUUGCUUUAAACCUAUUAUAUUGUCACUAGUCGCAUAGGAAACCGAGUCCAUAACUAUUCCACAAGGCACAUUAUAAGCGUCAUGCAAAUAGAACUAGUACACGUAGAAUACAGGGUGUUACAAUUUUCUUCAAUUCUUCCUCUUCCGAAUUGAGCGUAUAUAGUCACAAAUCACAUAUGAAUUGAUUUUCAUUUCAUAUAUAAAUAAGAGAUGGUUUGUGAAGUAACUAUAGUAAGAAUAAUCAUUUUUAAAAAGGAACAUCACAUUCACAAAUUAUCAAUUAUUCAAUUACUAUUGUCCUACGCAACCCAACUUGUUGUAAAGAAUAAAAAUCUUAAAUCUCUUUAAAAAAAAAUACAUCACAUGCAUGUAGAUGAAUGUCAUCUUAUACACAGAAUUGCUCUUUCUUUUAUACAAUCGAUUACCCAAGAAAGAAUCGGUACAUCGAUUUGUGUACCGUCCUUCAAUUGUAAAUAAAUAAAUAAAAAUUAAACAAAAAGUUAUAAUAUUACAUGUUGACUUGUUUUUUAUGUGUUGGGAAAAAUACUACUGUAACACCCCGUAUUCGAAAAAGACCAAAAAUACAGAUUUCGAGAAGUUGUAGGUGCAACUUACGAUCACCAUCCACGGACAGUAGGUCAGACCACGGCCCGUGCUGGUGGUCCGUGGUUCACCACUGCAACCCNNNNNNNNNNNNNNNNNNNNNNNNNNNNNNNNNNNNNNNNNNNNNNNNNNNNNNNNNNNNNNNNNNNNNNNNNNNNNNNNNNNNNNNNNNNNNNNNNNNNNNNNNNNNNNNNNNNNNNNNNNNNNNNNNNNNNNNNNNNNNNNNNNNNNNNNNNNNNNNNNNNNNNNNNNNNNNNNNNNNNNNNNNNNNNNNNNNNNNNNNNNNNNNNNNNNNNNNNNNNNNNNNNNNNNNNNNNNNNNNNNNNNNNNNNNNNNNNNNNNNNNNNNNNNNNNNNNNNNNNNNNNNNNNNNNNNNNNNNNNNNNNNNNNNNNNNNNNNNNNNNNNNNNNNNNNNNNNNNNNNNNNNNNNNNNNNNNNNNNNNNNNNNNNNNNNNNNNNNNNNNNNNNNNNNNNNNNNNNNNNNNNNNNNNNNNNNNNNNNNNNNNNNNNNNNNNNNNNNNNNNNNNNNNNNNNNNNNNNNNNNNNNNNNNNNNNNNNNNNNNNNNNNNNNNNNNNNNNNNNNNNNNNNNNNNNNNNNNNNNNNNNNNNNNNNNNNNNNNNNNNNNNNNNNNNNNNNNNNNNNNNNNNNNNNNNNNNNNNNNNNNNNNNNNNNNNNNNNNNNNNNNNNNNNNNNNNNNNNNNNNNNNNNNNNNNUGCAUGAAUUUCAGAACCGUAGCUAUGUAUUUCUUUAGUUCUUGAAUUACAUAUGCUAGGUCAGAUAUUUUAGUUAUUCAGUUAUACAUGCCUCAGUUAUUAAUGCAUCAUUAUCAGAUUAAUUGUUGCAUUCUCAGUUUGCAUGUUCAGUUUCGAGCUAUCUAGUAUUUACAGAAACUCAGUCAUAAUGUGUUAACCACUUAAUCUAUUGGGAGUAGCAUAAUACCGAGUUGGACUAGGGUUUCAGCGUACCCAUAUAGUCCCAGAACUACUAGCCACGUAGGUGUAAGUCCCCUCUGUAGGCAACAUUAGUUUAGUGAUCACGCCAGCAUGCCUCUAUACCUUUGGCCGGGUAUAUUGGGUCCUCUCGAUGGGGCGUAUACAUCGGACUCCACAUUUAGCUCAUGUGGUUUUAUGUCGGUUAUUAGUAGCUCCCACAGUUCAGUCAGACUCUAUUGCAUUGACCACAUUUACAGUUCAUUCAGUAUUCAGUCAGCAUGUUAUAAAUUGGUCAUUGCAUUCAGUUAGCUCAGUAUUCAGUAUUUUUCAGUAUCUAUAUCAUGUUCAGAUUAUUUCAUUGCUUUAUUGCUUUGUUUAGUUAUAUGUUAUUUCAGCUUUACUCUAUCCUGCAUGCUCAGUACCUUUCAAGUACUGACGCAUACGUGCGCUACAUCUUCUCGUGAUGUAGGUUUGGGUUCUCAGCAUCCAGAUCACGCUUAGAUCGAUUUCCGAUCUUCAGUUCAGCAGCAUCAGUGGUGAGUCCUCAUUCUUCGAGGACUAGUGACAUGUUUAUCUUUAUCGCUUUUAGUCUUCAGUUUCAGUUUUGCUAGAUCUAGUUGGGGCAUGUCCCAACAUUUCUAGUCAGUUUAGAGGCUUAUUUCAGACAUAGUUAGAUUCAGCUUAGUAUUUUGAGUUUGAUAUUUCUUUUGUAUUAAACUCUCAGAUUUGAUAUAUUCAGCUAUAGUAAAUGGGUAUUCCCCAUCUUUUUAGAUUUAUUUAUGAUUUAGCUUCCGCAUCAGUUUAUUAUCUUUAGUAUGCUCAUGAUCAUGCCAGCAGGGUUAACUUGGGAUCACUUGUGGUCCUAGGUCCCGUGUCCGCGUCUCGGGGGUAGUCUCGAGGCGUGACAACUACAAUAUUGAUAUUAGAUUGGAAUCGCAAAAUAGUAAACAACUUAUUACAAACACUGUGUCGUGGCAAGCCACUGGCUUGAAAGCGAUUUCGGCCCGACUCUGGUGCAAAUCGUUGUAGCCGGUCGCUCCCCAAGGUUCCACAGUUACUCUAAAAAACGUGCACUCAUGGCUGAAUGUUUGGAGUUGCACAAAAACAAUUACCCGGAAAUCCACAAUAGGAAGAAUGAUUGUUUAAGCCAAUAAAGAAAUUGUUGAAGGAGAUAGUAAAUGAAAGAAAGGACUUAGUUUUCUUUUCUGUGUUUAGCUCCCAAAUGAUAUCCUUAAAUAGGAAAAUUAUUUACGUUUUCAUCCAUCAAAAGAAUGUAAGAAACUAACGUAUAAUCAAUGUAAUGAAACAUUACUCUUACUUUAAUGAUAAAUUUGUCAUAAUACAAAAGUAACUUCAAGUCUUCUGAAUAUUUUCUUAUAAGGUUAAGAAACUGACACUUGCGAUAAAUGUGAACCAUUAAUGUGGAAGUAACUCUCCUAUUUCACAUAUACUGACGACUUAACAAUGUUCACGUAGAUUAAUUACAAAGAAUUAAAAGAUGUAACUUAUCCUUUGCAUUAAAAGAAAAGGAAUAUCAUCCACAAUCCCCCACUAAUGCAAAGAUAAAGAAUAAGAAUAAUUUUUGGGCAAAAGAAAGGAACAUGUACUUAAGUGUCAAUAUCAUUCGAUUUGAAUUGACACGUAAUGAAAUGAGGCAACAACACAUAUCCACAAAGUAGGGGUGUGCAAAAAUCGAACCGAUCAAUAAAUCGAACCGAAAAAAGUUUUAUUGGUUUAUUGUUAUUGGGUUAAUGGAUUAACGAUUUUUUAAUGGUUUUAUAAUAAAAAUAUUGGGUUAUUGGUUCGGUAUUGGUUUUUAAUAUUGGGUUAUUGGGUAAACCGACAACCCAUUAAGACUAGUAAUUUAUUGCAUUUACUUGUAUAUAAAUAUUAUAUAUUAAUCUCAAUAUUUUACUAGUUACUGUCUUUAUACUUUAGCCUUCAAUUCACAUUCUAAAGUGACGUUUAGUUCACAACUUCACAUUAUACAAAACAUCAAAAUUUAAAGUAAAAACCCUAUUCCUCUUAAUUUCUCUUUGUGUUACACUUGUAUAGUUUUUUCAUUACAUUAUUGUGGUGUCGCGCCAAAUUUAUUAGAGAAGUCAUAUAUUUAUUUUAUAAGUAUUUUCUUACUGGUUAAACCGAAAACCGAACCGUAAAGGACCAAAAUCGAUAAACCAAAAACCAAUAAAAAACCUCUUAUUGGUUUGGUUAUUGGUUUAACAUAUUUAAAAAUAAAAAACCGAUAAUACAUAAAAUCAAACUGAACCGACCGAUGCACACCCCUACCACAAAGUGAAGUACUCUUGAGCUAAAUGGACAUAAGUUGAGACCCCCACAACACAUACCAUAUUCUUGAUUUUAUGCAAACUCCGCGAUACAACAAAGUGCUUUUAUGGUCAUGUGCACACACCUUGGAUCUUAUGACUGCUUUAGAAAGAUGACCCAAUUCUUUCAUAAAAGGUGACCACACCUUUACACUGUGAUUCCAUCAAGCCUAUCUCAAAUAGACCACCUUAAGGCUAUAGAAUCAUUAAGAGCAAAAUAAGCUCAACCUUAUAAAACACUGCCUCACGCCAUAGGGAUAGAAAAUGUGGUGUAUAUUGAGGCCUAACAAGUCCACCACAUUACCUCAAUCAAUGGGCUUUAGCCCCAUCCCCAUCGACGUUUCAAGGAUUAUUUUUCUUGUCAAGCCCUUGGUCAUAGGAUCCACCAAAUUUCUUUUUGGGACCUUACAUAUUCCAAGGAAAUAACACCCAAUUUCAACAAUUAUUUAACUGCACCAUGUCUGAUGUGAAUAUGUCCCUUUUUUCCAUUAUACACACUAUUUUUGGCAAUUCCAAUUGCUGCUUGUGAGUCACAGUUAAGAGAGACUGGUGAAGCUUGUCUUCCCCACAAUGGCAUAUCUACCAAAAGAUUUCUCAGUCACUCAGCUUCUUGCCCUGCCAAUUCGAGAGCAAUGCAUUCUGAUUCCAUGGUAGAACAUGUUAUACAAGUCUGUUUGGAAGACUUUCACUAAAUAGCACCCGCACCCAAAGUAAACACAUAGCCACUGGUGGAGCUAACUUCAUCAUUGUCAGUUACCUAGUUUGCAUCACAAAAACCUUCUAAAAGAGCAGAAAAUUUAUUAAAAUUCAAACACCAAUUCAUAGUACCUCUUAAAUACAUUAGCAAGCGAUGAAGACCAUUCCAGUGUUCACUACUAGGAUUAUGAGUAUAUCUACUCAAUCUACUAACAUCAUAAGUUAUAUCAGCCUGAGUAUAGUUCAUGAGAAACAUUACACUACCAAUUAUUUAGCAUAUUUAGUUCGAGAAACGCUAAAUUCUUUUUUCUUCCUCAAGUGUAUGCUAGGAUCAUAAAGAGUUCUCACUGGAACUACAUCAAAAUAAUCAAAUUUUUUCAACAUCUUUUCAAUGUAAUGAGACUGACACAAAGAGAAACCAUUAGCAGUUCUUUUGAUUUUAACUCCAAAAAUCACAUUUGCUUCACCAAGGUUUUUCAUUUCAAAUUUAGAAGACAAAAAGUUCUUGGACUCAUUAAUAACAUUCACAUUAGGACCAAAUAUUAACAUGUCAUCUACCCAUAAACGUAUAAUGACACAAUCCAAACCUAUCAUUUUAGAAUAAACGCAUGUAUCAAAUGAAUUCACAACAAAGUCAUUAUCCACUAAUGUGAUAUUAAAUUUUCAUACCAUUGCUUAGGUGCUUGGUUUAGUCCAUAUAAGGAUUUCUCAAUUUGCAUACUUUAUCCUCUUGUCCUGGAACCACAAAACCCUCUGGUUGAGUCAAAUAGAUCUCUUCCUCUAAAUCACCAUUUACAAAUGCCGUUUUGACAUCCAUUUGAUGUACUAAAUCAUGAAUAGUGGCUAAUUGAAAAGUAGUAAACAACUUAUUACAAACACUGUGUCGUGGCAAGCAACUACCUUGAAAGCGAUUUCGGCCCGACUCUGGUGCAAAUCGUUGUAGUCGGUCGCUCCCCAAGGUUCCACAGUUACUCUCAAACACGUCCACUCGUGGAGCAAUCUCAUAGUUAGGAAUAUGACAUCAGAUUGCAAACAAUAGUUAUACGUCCACCAACAAUCAAGAUUGAAAAAUUCUGCAAAUCAAAUUCAUUGAUAAUUUAUCACCUUUGAAUAGAAGCAUGGAAACAAACUUUCUUGUGGAUCAAUCUGAUAAUUAGAAAUGUGACACAUCAAUCUUUUCAAUCGAAGUACGGUUGACUGCGAACAAUAAUUAUACGUCCGUCAACAGUCAAGAUUGAAAAAUUGUACAAAUUUAAAUUCAUUGAUAACUCAUCACUUUUGGCUAGAAGCAUGGUAAGAAAAAGAACGAUGCUAGGGUCUUCUAACGAAAGAUAAAGGAAUGAUACUUGAAUAAAAAAUCGUAGUUAAUUACUAGACUAGCACUUAAAUUAGCUAUGACAGUAUCGGUGUGUCUUAAAUGUUUGAUCUUAAUGACAUUGAAUAGAGGAUUUUAAUGCUUGCUUGGAGGGUGUAAUUCCUUAUGCGGUAAAUCAACAACAUUAGAUUUAGUUCUUUCCUUUUUUUUCUUACUUUCCUGGGUUGAUUUGAUCUCUUUUCGAGCUAUAGCAUGGUUAAGUGAUUUUUCUAUUAUAUUAAAAAAUAGAGUUGAAUAACUUUUUGAAAUAAUUGUCAUUAAUUGAGUUAGCUUUAUAUUACAAAACAAAAUUGACUAACUUCUUAUAAUAAAAUAAAAUAAGAAAAUUUUUAGAGAUAAUUAUCAUUAGUUGAGUGACCAUUAUUUUAAAAAAUCAAAGUUGAUUAAAAAAUAUUACUCCCUCCGUUUCAAAAAGAGUGGUCUAGUUUGACUUGGCACGGAGUUUAAGAAAAUAAAGAAAACUUUUAAGUCUUGUGAUCCUAAAUUAAAGUUAUGCUAAACGUACAAAAUUGUUCUGUAAUUGUGUGUUGGUCCUUAUUUUAUUCGAGUUGAAUCAAAUUGCAGCACUUAAACACCAAAAAAUCAUCAUGAAACUGUACAUAACACAGCACUAGACAACAACAUCAAACCAUUAAAAUAUCAAUACCAAACUACUACAUCAAACUACCAAAAAUUUGCACCAAACUGCUGCACAGACAGUAGCACUCGAGCACCAAAAAUCAGCACCAAACUGCACAAAAAAUAGCACAUAAAUUGUGCCAAACUACACAAAAACUGCACCAAAAAACAUCACCAAGCUACCCCAAACUGCACAAAAACAACACCAAACUUGACAAGGUUUUCUUUACUAUAGCAGCGUCAAUGAAGAAAAGAAGAGGGAAAAAGAAAAUCAAGAGAGUAGCUGAAUUACAACGUUUGUUAACGGUGUGUAUAAAAGGUAGAUACAGACCAAACUUGACAAGAUUGUAGUUAGUUAAGGGACUAUUUCCGUUAAGUAUAUAGUUUAGGGACUAUUUUAGACCUAGUGUGAUAGUUUAGGGACCAUUUAUGUCAUUUUCUCGAGUUCUUAGUAUAAUCCUACUAAUGAGGUCUCUCAGUAGAUAGACUCUUGGCUCAAAAGAAGUAUUAUCAUUAAUUGUAAUAAAAAUAUUAUCCAACACAAGUGCAAUUAUGAAUGGUAAUCAAAUUUGUAGUGGAGAUUCGUACUUUUAUAAUAGUAUAGAUUUAAAGAUGGAAGUAUUAAUAUAUUACCAAAUACCCAAUAAAAGUGGAAAUCACUUAACUUUCUUAGACAAGUACAUUUGGACGUAAGGAUGUGGCGUAGUUGUCAAUAAAGGUCGAGAAUCAUAAGGUCUUAGGUUUGAAUCGUACAGGAGAUAAAAACACUCUAAUUGAUUCAUAAACUAAAAAACACUAGGUGAUUCUUCUUAUCUUUCAUAGUCUUAGUUGACUAAGUUACCUAGUACUUAUUGCUGGUGGGAGGUGCUCGGACACCAUAGACAUUAAAAAAAUUGUAAUAAUAUACCUGAAAUAUGUAACAUUUGUUGUAAAAUUUUCUUGAAAUUUUAAUGAUGUAAGCAAUCAAGUUCUUUAAUAAUUGUGUUAUCUUCAAUGUUUGCUUUACUUAUAGCACCUUUACAUUCAACAGGUCAGAUGGAAAAUGCAAAUGGAGUUGAUUGGCAGGAAGAGGUUUACCAAAAGGUAUGGUUUGCGAUGGUACUUUUAAUUUUCAAAGGAUUUUGAAAAUUGUGGAAAUUUGAUAUGUGGAUUUUGAUAAACUGAUUGGUUAUAACAUUAUAAAGAAAUAGCUGAAUGUUUCGAAAUAUUACCUAUGAUUAUAGAGUAAUAAAAGAGGUUUACCAUACCAAGUGUUCAACUAAAUUCAUGGUCGUACCCCUCCACGCAAGGUGCUUUAUGUAAUCCAUUUCUUAGAAGAAAUAGAAAUCUGAUCAUGUUAACAUGUAACUUGUUAGAAACGAUCAUGAAACCUCACUGUCGAUGGUGCUCUAUGUAAGCCUGUCUUGGUCCAAUAUUGUCAAUGACAAAAAAAUAGUUUCACCUGCACUGCAUAAUUUAAAAGUGAAGCAUAUUUUGAUAAAUUAAUUGAUUACAGAAAAUUAGUUGUUGAGUGUUGAGAUCAUAUUAACUUAAUUCAUGAGAUAAUUUGUCUGUAAGUUCGGAUCAAAGUCUUCAUGGCAUGUCACCAAUUUGUUUUAUUUCCCGGUAACAAAAAUCUUUAAUUGCUAGGUUGAGGGAUAAACCUAUUUGUGCAAGAUGUAUAUAUAUGUGAAAAGACAUCUAUUCAUCUGUAUUAGUUGGUAUAUUUUUUUCUGUUUCUUAUUUUAUUUCUUAAAAUAAAGAAAUCAAUGCUUCCGUCAUCGAAAAUUGUCCUUCUCUACUUACGCGACUUGGUUUACUAGCUAGUACUAAGUUGGAAUACUUUGAUUUCUCCAAGUAUUGAGAUAGAUCUCAUGCACGUUCAGCUUCUACGACACUCCAAUUCAGCAGGAAACGGCCCCCACCUUCCUCACAAUCAACUUGUGGGAAACCAAGUUCUAUUAGUGGUCCUUCCAAACUAUGUUUGUCUUAUUUAGGGACUUGGAAGCAAAAGAAAGACCAAUAAUCCAUCCGAGUAUCAAAUACAUUGAUAUUAGGAGGUAAUACAUGUGUGGUAAUGUAAGAAACCAAGUUCUAUUAUUAGUUCGUCCAACCUAUGUAUGUCUUAUUUCAGGAUUUAGUUGUCAACUACAUCACUAUUAUUUCAUUGUGUUCCCUUGUUUUUUACUUCAUUGAUGAGAAAGUUGUAAAGUUUAAAAAAAAUGGUGAUUGCUAUUAAACUGUGGUCUGUGUUAUAUCUUCCAACCUAACUUUAAGAAAGUAUAUUCUAAUUCCUACUGGUUGGGUUGGUCUACGAUCACAUUACGGAAGUUGUUUUCUUGAUAUGAUCAGUACCAAGAAGCUAAAGGAAGCAAAAAUUAGUUACUUGUUUUAACAGUUACAUAUUAAUCAGUUGUAGUCUUCCUCUUCUACUUCACUUUUAACCUUUUUAUCUGGAAGGUUCUUUUAUGAAGAUUCUCCAGUUUGUUCUCUACUGCAUCGUAUAGUUGAUCUAAUUAUCACCUAACCACAUGGGAAUGCAUUCUUGACAUUUCCGCAAUUGACUUAUUGAAAAUUUGUAAUGCAGAUCUAGUAUAUGAAGGAGAUAUAUUUAUCAGAACUCAAUGAUUUAUACGAGAAAAUUGCUCAUAAAGUGCAGCAGGUAUGUCAUCAACACCCUCUUAAGUGCUUCAUCAUAGUUCCAAAUUUUGGUUCACUCCCUUGCAAGUUUCGUCAAAUGACACACCAUCAUUUGCCUAUAGCAUGCCCAAGGUGUAGUGCAUAUUGUAUUCUAUUGGUUAUUGGAAACUCUUCAAACUGGGAACUGAUGCAGAAAGCUCAAGACACUAAAUUCUCAUUUUGUCUUCUUUAAUUUGGUUCCUUUCCUGUCGAUUGUCAUCUUUAGAAACAGUGCUCUCAUAGUUGUAAAGCGGCUAAUUCCUUUAGCAUCUGCAUUAUUUUUGUGUUGAAGCAUUGUGAGUGAUAGUAAAGUCGAGGUGGUAGUGGAUACCAUAAAAGAGUUAUUUUUCACAUGUAAUUUUUCUGUUCGUGUUUUUUUUUUCUUUUUUCGGGGAAGGAAUUAAAGCCUCCAUAAUUCUUCGGACAAGGGCUUGAUUUAUCUGAAUUUAAAAGCACUUGAAUCAACAUUCUGUUGAAUUGUGUAAACCUUGCAAGCUAUGUUAUGUAAUUGAAGCAUGAAUUUUAAAAGUUUGCAAAGGACAAAAAACAGGACUGACUAAACUGAAUUCUUUUUACUGAUUUUAAGCAUAACUCUCUUCAUCAGCGUCUUCAAAAUGAGAACAUUGAAAAACUCAAGAUGUUCAAGGUGACGCUGGAACACAUUAUGCAUUUCUUGCGGCUUAGAAAGCAGGAUAUUCAACUUAAUCACAAGGGCAAGCUGGUCUCGGUUGAGAAGAACAUAAGUUUCUUUCUAAGGUUCAAUUGGGCACUCAGCAGGACUUCUUCUUCUCCACAGCAGGGGGAACUUCAUCAUGAUAACAUAACCUCAUUCAGUACACAAAGUGGAACGAACCCCGUACAGGCAAACCUCGAAUCCCUACAGCAAAAUUCAAACGCGCUGCCACAUUUACUUCCUAUACAGCCCGUGCAGCAAACGUUGCCGAACCAACAAUUAACACCGCUGUGCAACCGGCUGCUGAUUCAGCAACAACUUCUUCGAAGGCAGCGGUUAAUGGAACAUCAGCAAGCAAUGAACUCACUGCAGAAGUUAAUGCAACGGAAUAAUCCCACAAACUUGCAGCAUAAUUCCUUGUCUGGAGUAUCGACAAAUUCCAACACUCAGCAAUACAUGAUAAAUUCAGUACAGCCUGGUUUCAAUUUGGAUUUGGGACAGAGUAAUUCUUUGAACUCCCUGCAACAGGUGUCUACUGAAUUUUUGCAACAGAAUCUUGUUAACAAUCUACAACAUGAUAACAUAAGCUCAUUCAGAACACAAAGUGGAACGAAUCCCAUACAAGCAAACCUCGGUUCCCUACAGCAAAAUUCGAGUGUCUGGCAGCGAAUGUCGCAGAGCCAGCAAAUGUUGCAGAACCAGCAAUUAAGACAGCAGUUACACAAUCGGCAGAUGCAGCAGCUACAUUUUCAUAGACUGAAGUUAAUGCAACAGCAGCAAGCAAAGCAAGAGUAGACCACACUAUUGCCAACCCACCAGACGUCGCAGCUUCAACAGUCUUCCAUGCUGCUUGAGCAACCACAAUCUCUUGAUGGUCGAAACUAAUGCACAGAUGCAAUCCGAACAGGGUUCCAUGGAAGGCAUUGCAACAAAACAAUAUAUCGAUUUGCAACAUGAUUGUUUGGAUAAUUAAAUUGUUUAUGUUUCGUGCACUCGUGAACACAUGCACCCUUCCCAAGGUUAUGUGAAGUACUGCAAUUAUUUUGAUAAAUUACUUAAGUUUCAUGUGAGAACUUAGGGUAAAAUUCGACAUAUCCAUCUCCAAAUUUUUCUUUGUUUGGAUCUUUUGCAACACUUUUACAAACAACGGUCACAAUUUUUCACAAUAUUUUAUGGUGUAUUUUUUAAGAAAAAAAAAUUCUUUGAUUCGUACGUAAAGUGUGUUUCCUUAAAUAAUGAUACUAUUGUAAUCAGUCUUCAAAUAUAAAAUUUGUUAUACUAUCUUGAUGAUAAUGUGGAUAUUAUUUCUUUUCUUUUAAUGCAAAGGAUAAGUUCAUCUUUUAACUCUCCGUAAUUAAUGUGAACAUUGCUAAGUCGUUAGUAUAUGUGAAAUAGGAGAGUUACUUCCACAUUAGUGGUUCACAUUUAUCUCAAGUGUCAGUUUCUUAACCUCAUAAGAAAAUAUUCAGAAGACUUGAAGUUACUUUUGUAUUUAUGACAAAUUUGUCAUUAAGUAAGAGUAAUGUUUCAUUACAUUGAUCAUACGUUAGUUUCUUACAUCUUUUGAUGGAUGAAAACGUAAAUAAUUUUUCCUAUUUAAGGAUAUCAUUUGGGAGCUAAACACAGAGAAGAAAACCAAGUCCUUUCUUUCAUUUACUAUCUCCUUCAACAAUUUCUUUAUUGGCUUAAACAAUCAUUCUUCCUAUUGUGGAUUUCUGGGCAAUUGUUUUUGUGCAACUCAAAACUUUCAGACAUGAGUGCACGUGUUUGAGAGUGACUAUGGAACCUUGGGGAGCGACCGGCUACAACGAUUUGCACCAGAGUCGGGCUGAAAUCGCUUUCAAGGCAGUGGUUUGCCAUGACACAGUGUUUGUAAUAAGUUGUAUACUAUUUUGCAAUUCCAAUCCAAUAGCAAUAUUGUAGUACUUUUCCCAACAGAUAAUUAUUGUUUUUUUUUCCUUUCAAAACUCUUGAGAUAGUUAUCACUGGCAAAAUUUGCACUAUAUAAGUCAUUAAAAUUACUCUUCUUGUGUUUUGUUCUAAGAUCUCAUGUGUUCAAAAUUAAUAAUCCCUUGCCAUAUAUAAAUCUUUUUAGUUACUAAUGUUAUCUCAAUUUUUUUGUAUGAACCUUCUAUCUUAAGGACAAAUAUUGUUUUUAUCCCUCGUUAUUUUAUAUAAUUUAACAAUGGAAAAAAAUGAUAACUAUAUCAUGUAUGUCAAAUUAUUUUACCUUGUAAAAUCAAACUAUGCAAGAAUAUCUAACAGUUUUCAUUAUACCUCUCUCUCCUAUAAAAUCAGAUCAAAGAAACAAAAAUUGACCAAUCAAAGAGACAAAAAUAAAGAAGAAAAAAAAUUAAAAUAAAAUAAUCAUCAUACAUGUCUCAAAAUAGGUUUUUAUAAGUGUGAUUUUAUGAAGUUAUACAUUUGUAAUAAAUUCAACUCUUAAUUAAUUUAGUAAUGUCUCUAACUCCUAACCUUUCAUAUUCAUAAACUUCAAAUUAUUUAAUACAAAUUUAUAACUUCAUAAAAUCACACUUAGAAAAACCUAUUUUGAGACAUAUAAUUAUUACGUCGUAAAUCAAUAACAUUGAAUUUAAUUUUUUCCUUCUUACUUACUUUCAUGGUUUGGUUUGAUUUUUUUCCCAAGUUAUAACAUAAUUAAGUGACUUUUUUAAUUAUAAAAUAGAGUUGUAUAGCUUUAUGAAAUAAUUAUCAUUAGUGACAUUUAUGUUACAAAACAAACUGGACUGGCUUUUUAUUAUAAAAUAAAAUAAAAUAAUUUUUGAGGAUAUCUUUAUUUUACAAAAACAAAGUUUAUAAAAAUAUUAUUUGAGAGACUAUAUAUAAACUUAACUCUAUAUAUAUAUAUAUAUAAAUACAUAUACUAGGGCUCAAGUUAGGGUAUCAAAAAAGUUUAUCAGCGAUGUAUAUUGAUAAUAAUACUCAAGGUAGUGAUUUCCUUCAUCUUUUUUUUUUUUUUGGAUCGUUACUUGUACUUGUUUUUUUUUUCUUUCUUUUGUCAAUGAUUUUACACUAUUACUACUACUACUAGAUAUUCGUAGAAUUGCAUUGGGAAUGUAGGGUUUGAAAUCUUUCGUGUUUAUUUUUUCUGUGUGGUUUGUGGGUUAUUACAUUAGAGCGGGGUUUAUGCGAACCCGAAGGUAGCAAGUGUGUGUUUUGGUUUGGUUGGGACAAGCUAGGAUGUCAGGAUCCCAAUUAGAAUUAGGAUCCGACUGUAAAUUGCAAUUUCAAAAGUAAAUCAAUUCAGUUUUUUUGGGACAAUUUUCUCUAAUUCAUAUAAACUGGAAAAAUGGAUUUCUAAUACAAAGAAAUUGAAAAACUAAUUAAAUCUAAGAUAACGAGGGAGGAAUUGGUUUACCAGAAGUUCGUUGUUGUAUUCUCUCCAGUUUAUAACAGCCUUCAGAUAACGUGGCGGGAUCUUGACCCUUGUGCCUCAUUAAGUGGAAUUUAAUCUUGAUCGUUUAUUUUGGAAGUAGUUACUCUACUUCCACGAUUCAGCUUCGAAUUAAGUUAUACUAAGUAAGAUCAUUAUAUAUCCCGGAUUGAUUAUCCUCUUAUCCAUGAUUGUUAUCCAAUUAAAGUAACACUAUAAUCUCGAUUAGUUCGAUUGGUUAUCCCGUACGAGGUCUUAAUGUAAUUCUACUAGUCAGGUCUCUCCCAAGCUCUUAGGGUUAGACAGGCAGGCACAUCUUACUUAUAGAUAGACUCUUGGCGGCUCAAAAGAAGUGUAGAAAUUAAUUGUAAUAACAAUAUUAUCCAACACAAGUGCACUUAUGACGGGUAAUUUUGUGUGGAGCUUCGUACUUUUAUAAUAGUAUAGAUUAAAAGAUAGAACUAUUAAUAUAUUUCCAAAUAUCCAAUAAAAGUGGAAACUUAACUUUCUUACACAAGUACAUUUGGACGGAAAGGUGUGGUGUAAUGGUCAAUUAAGUGGUUGAGAACCAUGAGGUCUCAGGUUCGAAUCUCAGGGGAGACAAAAAAAACACUAGAUGAUUCUUCCCAUCAUUAAUAGGAUCAUAGCCUUAGUGGACAGAAGUGGGAGGUGCUCGGACACCAUGGUCAUCAAAAAAAAUGUAUUAAUAUGCUUGAAAUAUGUAACAUUGUCGCAAAAUUUGCUUGAAAUUUUAAUGAUGUAACCAAUCAAGUUUUUUACACUCUACAGUUCAGAUGGAAAAUGCAAAUGGAGCUGAUUGGCAGGAAGAGGUAUACCAAAAGGUAUGGUUUGCACUGGUACUUUUAAUUUGCACAAGAUUUUGAAAAUUGUGGAAAUUUGAUAUGUGGAUUUUGAUAAAUUGGCUAGUUAUAACAUUAUAAAGAAAUAGUUGAAUGUUUCGACAUAUUUCCUAUGAUUAUAGAGUAAUAGAAGAGGUUUACCGUACCAAGUGUUCAGCUAAAUUCAUGACCGUACCCCUCCACUCAAGGUGCUUUAUGUAUUCAAUUUCUUAGAGGAAAUAGAAAUCUGAGCAUGUUAAUAGGUAACUUGUUAGAAACGAGCAUGAAUCCUCGCUGUCAAUGGUGCUUGUUUAAGCCUGUCUUGGUCCAAUAUUGUCAACGACAAAAAAUUAGUCUCACAUGCACUGGCAUAACUUAGAAGUGGAGCAUAUUUGAUAAAUUAAUUGAUUACAGUAACCCGGCAACUAAAAUCUUUAAUUGCUAGUUUGAAGAUAAACCUAUUUGUGCAAGAAGUAUAUACCUGAAUAUAUGGCUAUAUGAAGAUGUUUUUUGUGAAAAGACAUUCGUUCAUCUGUAUUAGUUGGUAUACUUUUUCUGUUUUUUAUUUUAUUUCUUACAAUAGAGAAUUCAAUGCUUCGUCUUCGAAAAUCGUCUUUCUCUACUUACGCGACUUGGUUUACUAGCUAGUAAUAAGUUGGAAUACUUUGACUUCUCCAAGAAUAAACAUAUAACACUAACAUGCUCUGUAUUCUCCAUUCCGUCGUUUUUCACUUGUCAAGCCAACAAAGAACAUUACAGCAUAAGAUUACUAAGAAGCAUAGGUUUCCAACUAAACAAGAAAAAUAAUUAGGUGCUAAGUAAUUUGGUAAUCAACCUAUGAUUGUUACUAGCUUUCCUAGAUCCUUUCAGUAAGUCUAAUUUUUCUAUAACUUCUUUCUUAAUCUGUACUAACAUUAUAUCAGUAUUCACCAAUGAUCCUCUAAAAAUCUUCGAGUUCCUUGCUUUCCAUGUAUGAUAGAUCACUGCUCCCCGAAUAGCUGUGAUGAAACUGCUUCCAGUUCUUCCUCUUUAUGCCUUCCAGCACUUUCUGAACCUCACCCUUAGUUAUGGUUAGUCCUACUCACUGUUGGAUGCUAUCUCUCAAUGUCUCUAUCCAAGAUGUGUAACUGAGUCUCCAGAGAUUGACUUUUUUUGUAAGUAGUCUACCUUGUACAGCCAACCACACAAAAAAUCGAUGCUUUUGCUGUGAAAGUGCUGUCCAAAUGAGUUCUGCAAUAUUUAGUCUGCUCUGCUGCCCCAACAUAGCAUUAAAGUUCCCUGUAAUAGAAUAUUUGGACUCACCAAACACCGCAAGACUGCUGUUGGUAUUGGAAAAAGAUUAAUGCUUUGAAGGAGAUGACCGGACUUUGAUCUAGUGGUAAGAGUGUAAUAUUGGACGUACUGGAUUAGGCGCAUCUCACAAAAGUUAAGUAUUUAAGUGGAGAAGGGUAGAGAAUCAGACGUGUUAUCCACUAAGAACUGUGCCCCUAAAAAACCCAUGUUACAAGCACCCUCUCUGUAAUGAACCUCCCUCUUUUACCAGAAAAGGCGUUGUUCCAAGCAGAGGUAGAGCAGAGCACCAGCCCCGAAGUGUUCUUACUUUAUUAGUAACUCACAUCAGCAUUGAGAUCUCACGCACGGCCAGCUGCUAUGACACUCCAAUUCAGCAGGAAGCGGCCCCACCUUCCUCAUAAUCAACCUGUGGGAAACCAAGUUCUAUUAGUGGUCCUUCCAACCUACGUAUGUCUUAUUUAGGGAUUUAGUAGCAAAAGAAAGACCAAUAAUCCAUCUGAGUAUGAAAUACAUUGAUGUUAGGAGGUAAUACACGUCUGGUAAUGUAAGAAAUCAAGUUCUAUUAUUGGUUCGUCCAACCUCUUCUACUUCACUUUUAACCUUUUUAUCCGGAGGUUCUUUUGUGAAGAUUCUCUAGUUUGUUUCUCUACUACAUCGUACAGUUGAUCUAAUUAUCAUCUAACCACAUGGGAAUGCAUUCUUGACAUCUCCGCAAUUGACUUAUUGAAAUUUGUAAUGCACUUUUAACCUUUUUAUUUGGAAGGUUCCUUUGUGAAGAUUCUCUAGUUUGUUCUCUACUGCAUCGUACAUUUGAUCUAAUUAUCACCUAACUACAUGGGAAUGCAUUCUUGACAUUUCUGCAUUUGACUUAUUGAAAAAUUUUAAUGCAGAUCAAGUAUAUGAAGGAGAUGUAUUUAUUAGACCUCAAUGAUUUAUACGAGAAAAUUGCUCAUAAAGUGCAGCAGGUUAAACCCCCCCCCCCCCCCAAGUGCUUCAUCAUAGUUCCAAAUUUUGGUUGACUCCCUUGCAAGUUUCAUCAAAUGACACACCAUCAUUUGCAUAUAGCAUUCCUAAGGUGUAAUGCAUAUUGUAAUCUAUUGGUUACUGGAAACUCCUCAAACUGGAAACUGAUGCAGAACGCUCAAAACACUAAAUUCUCAUUUUGGCUUCUUUAAUUUGGUUCCUUUCCUGUCGAUUGUCAUCUUGAGAAACAGUGCUCUCAUAGUUGUAAUGCGGCUAAUUCCUUUUCAUUUCUAGCAUCUGCAUCAUUUGUUUGUGUUGAAUUUUUCUGUUAGUUUGUUUUGCUUUCGGGGAAGGAAUUAAGGCCUCCAUUCUUUGGUCAAGGGCUUGAUUUAUCUUAAUUUAAAAGCACUUGGAUCAACAUUCUUCCGAACUGUGUGAACCUUGUGAGCUAUGUUAUUUGUCUCUUUAUGUCAUUUCUUAAAGUUUACUCCCUUUUUCGUUGCCAUGGGAGGUACUUGAAGCAUGAAUUUCAAAAGUUUGCUAAGGAAAAGAAACAGGACUAUGACUAAACUGAUUUUUUUUGUGAUUUUAUGCAUGACUCUCUUCAUCAGCAUCUUGAAAAUGAGAUGAUUGAAAAGGUCAAGAUGUAUAAGAUAAUGCUGGAACGCAUUAUGCUUUUUUUGCGGCUUAAAAAGCAGGAUAUUCAACUUAUUCAUAAGGAAAAACUGGUCUCGGUUGAGAAGAACAUAAGUAAGUUUCUUAGUUCCAAUUUGGCACGCAGCAAGACUUCUUCUUCUCCACAGCAGGGGCAACUUCAUCAGUCUUCCAUGCAGCUUCAGCAACCACAAUCUCUUGGUGGUCAAACUAAUCCACCGAUGCAGCCCGUACAGGGUUCCAUGGAGGCAAUGCAACAGAGUUAUCUCACCAACUUGCAACAUUAUUCCUUGUCUGGCGUAUCGACAAUAUCCAAUUCUCAACAACACAUGAUAAAUGUGGUAAAACCUGGUUCCAGAUGGGAUUUGGGACAGGGUAAUUCGUUGAACUCACCGCAGCAGGUGGCUACUGGAUCCUUACAACAGAAUCCUGUUAACAGUCUUCAACAUGAUAAUAUAAGCUCAUUCAGUACACCAGGUGGAAUGAACCCUGUACAGGCAAACCUCGAAUCCCUACAGCAAAACUCAAGCGCGCUGCCUCAUUUACUUCCUACACAGCACGAGCAGCAAAUGUUGCAGAACCAACAAUUAACACCCCUGUGCAACCAGCUACUGAUGCAGCAACAACUUUUUCAAAGUCAGCAGUUAAUGAAACAUCAGCAAGCAAUGAACUCACCGCAGCAGUUAAUGCAACAGAAUAAUUUCACCAACUUGCACCAUGAUUCCUUGUCUGGCGUAUCGACAAAUUCCAACUCUCAGCAAGACAUGAUAAAUACAAUACAGCCUGGUUCCAAUUUGGAUUUGGGACAGGGUAAUUCUUUGAACUCACUGCAACAGGUGUCUACUGGCUCUUUGCAACAGAAUCAUGUUAACCGUCGUCGACAAGUUAACAUAAGAUCAUUAAGUCCACAAAGUGGAACUAACCCAGUGCAGGCAAACCUCGGUUCCCUACAACAAAAUUCAAACGUCCUGCAGCGAAUGUCACAGAGCCAGCAAAUGUUGCAGAACCAGCAGCUACUUUUGCCAAUACAGCAGUUAAUGAAACUGCAGCAAAUGCAAAUGAAAACAGGAAUUUUACAGAAACAUCACUUAAUGCAACAGCAGUCAGUUGGCCAGCGCGUUGGAUCUCAUCAUCCACAAAUGAAGUCAGGAAUAUCUUCACCUCAACUCCAUAAGGCACUAUCUCCUCAGGUUACCCAACAUCCUUCUCCGCAAAUUGACCAACAAAAUAUGUUGGCAUCUCUUUCCAAAGCUGGGACGCCUCUCCAAUCCGCAAGCUCACCAGUUGUUGUUCCAUCUCCUUCAACUCCCUUGGCUUCAUCUCCAAUGACGGGGGAUUCUGAAAAAGUUAGUGCUGGCCUUGCAUCACAUAACACAGCUGGAAAUACAAUGCAUCAACGAGCUACACUACCGAUGGAGUUUGAACCCUACACCUCUACUGUGGAAGGUAUGGAGAUUUCACCAAGUGAGCUAUGCUAACCCUUCAACCCCUAUUUAUAUAGAAUAAUGAAAAUAAUGAUGAAAUUACAAUUGCCACAAGUAAUUUGCUGAAUAUUAGCUAAAGAAACUUUUGCAGAAUGUAUUAAUAUACCCUGAAAUAUCUAACAUUCUCCCAAAAUUUGCCUGAAAUUUUAAUGGUGUAAGUAAUCAGGUUCUUUAAUCUUUGUUCUAUCCUCAAUUUUGUGUUAUUUGUAGCACCUUUAGAUUCUUCAGCUCAGACAGGAAACACAAAUGGAGCUGACUGGCAGGAAGAGGUUUACCAAAAGGUAUUGUUCGCAAUGGUAUUUAUUUGUUCAAGAUUUUGAAAACAUAGGAAAUUAGAGAUGACUAGCUGGAAAUUGAAUUUUUUGGCAGUUGAUUAGUGAUGUGCAUUUUGAUAAACUAGCUGGUUAUGACAAUAUAAGAAAUGGCUGAAUGUUCUGAAAUAUUUUUUGUGAUUCAUGGUCGUCGUACCCCUAACCCCUAGGUACUUUAAACAGGUAACUUGUAAUUAAUAUAGGCUGAUAAUAUUCUCAAUUGAAGAAUACUAUUACAAUGACUACGCCUCAAUCCCAAGCUAGUUGGAAUCAGCUAUAUGAAUCCUUAUUAUCCAGUUUGUUUAACUUGUAAUUCAUGGUGGUCUAUGAUCACGUUAUGGAAUUUGUACUCUUUGAUGUGAGCAGAAAUGUGAACCAAGAAGCUAAAGGAAUCAAUUUUUUUUUUAUCAUUCACUUGUUAAUCAACUAUAUAGCCUCUUGGCCACGCUUUGGAAGGCCAAAAGUGCUUCUUUUUUUAAAAAAGUGAGGUGUUCGGCCAAGUUUUUGGGAGAAAAUAAGUCUUUUGGUGGAGUAACAAAAGUUGUUUUUUAGAAGCUAAAAAGGAAAGUUUUUCUCCAAAAGUACUCUUUUGAAAAGCACUUUUGAGAUAAUACACUUUAGAAGCACUUGUUAAAAGCUUGGACAAACACUAAUUGCUGCUCAAAAAUGUUUUUAAAAUUGAUUAGUCAUAUACAGAUGUCACCAAAACACUAAUUUCUUGAAAAGCAUUUUUCAAAAUAAGCAUAUUUUAGAAGCUUGACAAAACAUGCUAGUAGUCUCUUUCUCUUAUACUCACUUUUAACCUUUUUAUCUGGAAGGUUCUUUCAUGAAGAUUGUCUAGUUUGUUCUCUACUGCAUCGUACAAUUGAUCUAAUUAUCACAUAUCCUCAUGGGAGAUGCAAUCUUGACAUUUGUGAAUUUGACUUCAUGAAAUUUUGUAACACAGAUCAAGUCUAUGAGGGAGAUGUAUUUAUCAGAGCUCAAUGAUCUAUACUGGAAAACUGCUUCUGAAAUGCAGCAGGUUUGUUUUUUAGCUAAAUUUGCAUUGAUUCCAAGAGAACUUGAGUCCUUUGAUAUAAUUAUUAUUGAUAGAUCUUAAGUCUAACUCAUCUUUUUUACUACCUUCAAUCAUCAUAAUGUCCCACCUAUCGAUGCCUUCGGACGUCUUUUUAGGAUAUGUCUGUACCAUCUUAGAUGAGAGAGCCAUCUUAGACGACGAUGUCUCAUUUUAAUCUUUUUGUGUAACUGUUAAUUGUUAUAUAGACAUGAAUUUGAUGUUAGAGUCUCUUUUCCAUCACUGAAAGGGAUCAAGUACUCCCUAGUGUUUUGGGAUUGGGAUUGAGCUUGAUAUAUCUGAGUUGUGAAAAGCACUUAUGCGAACAUUUUGUCGAAACAUAGAGUGAUAGUUUUUUUAUUAUUUUUUGGUGGAAGGAAAAAUAUGUGUUCAUUUUUAGUUUUUUUACUAUGUUAUUAAUUUCUUUAUGCCUUUUUCUGAAGUUCCCCUCCCUUUUUUCUUGGCCUGGAGGGGUACUUAAAGCAUGACUAUUAAAAAUUUGCAUAGGGCAAGAAACUGAUUUCGUUCUGAUUUUGAGCAUGACUCUCUUCCUCAGCAUCCUCAACAUGAGAAAAUUGAAAAACUCAAGAUUUUCAAGAUGACGUUGGAACGCAUUGUGCUUUUCUUGCGGCUUAACAAGUGUGAGAUUCAACUUUCUCACAAGGAAAAACUGUUUUCGCUUGAGAAGUACAUAACUUUCUUUCUUAGUGGCAAAAGUCCGCACAACCCUACUUCUUCUCCAUUGCACGGGCAACUUCCUUAGCGUUCCAUCCACACAAGUCAGGUAUGCAAUCCGAACUUGUUUAGAUAAUUCAAUUGUUUUUCACCUUGUUGAAAUUGUUUUCCUCUUGUAUUAACAUGCAUCUACAUUUCCACUAGAAUUUUUUUUUUUUUUUUUUUUUUUUUAGGGGUGGGGGGGAUUGAUAACUCGGGACUUGUUAUUAUUUUCACAGUAUAAAUCUCUUAAGCUAUGAAUGAUCUCUCGUGUUACUUCUACUUUGUUCUAAGAUCUUAUGUGUUUAAAUAGGAAAGUAUGAAGGUCAAAUGUUUGAGUAGAAGGUUAGUGGGGAGUCUAGUGUUGUCGUAGUUCUAGUAGUAUGAUUUAGGUAGCUUGUAGUUUUUUUUUCUCCUAUGUGUAUUAAUAUUUGUUGCUACACUUGUUUCUUACAUUGCUACUUUGUUCUCUCUUUUUCUAUCUUACUUUCCUACGUUUGUUACAUAUCUUUUGAGCCGAGGGUCUAUUAGAAACAACCUGUCUACGAUAAGGUUUGCAUACAUCCUACCCUCCCCUGAUCCCACUUGUUGAAUUACAUGGCUAUGUUGUUGUUGAUCUCCUUGGUUUCGUUCUAAGGUUUUUUGUGUGUAAAGUUUACAAUCUCUCGCAAUUUACUCGUAAGUUACUAAUCAUAUGUUGCACGUUAUAUUCUACGCAGGCACAAGAUAUAUAUGCACAUCAGCCGCCUAUGUUGGAUUCCAGUUGGCAAGAUAUUACUUCUGAGCUUGAUAGAUUUCUGUGUUUGAUUGAUUAGAUGGUAGUUAUGAUGGAUUGUGUUAUGUAUGGAAUGGUUUUGGUACUUUUGGUAUUGAUAGAUAGAUUGGGUUGUAAUUUUGAUGGAUUGAGUUUUGGUACUAAACUUGAUGAGCGUUGAGCACACGAAUAAGGGGUUAUGUAAAGUACUCUUGAACCCAUGUGGAUUAUUUAAAGUACUCGUGAACCAACUUAUACAUCCUUCCCUAGAUUAUUUAGAAAGCACCACAAUUGUUCUGAUAAAUUACUUAAAUUUUGUGGGAACCUCGGUUAAAAUUCAAAAUAUCCAUCUCUAAUUUUUUCUAAUGUUUGAAUCUUGCGUAUUCGCGCUAGCAGGUUCUACAAGCCCUCUGUCCCACGCGUCUAAUCAGCUCGUGUAGUUCACCGGUUCCACCGAAAACUCUCAAACAAAGUGGAGUAUAGUGUGCUUUUGCAGGUAGUUAGCCGCUUUAUCUGUAGGAAAAGACCUUAGGCUGUACAACAAUUCCGCUAUUCUCCCUUUCAAGUAGGGGUCAACGGAGCUUUAAUACUUUUACAAACAAAGCUCACAUUUCUCCUCGAAAAAAUUUGUGGUCUCUCGUUUUAGUUUUUUUUUUCAAUUUAUUCGUAAAGUAUGUUUCCUUAAAUAAUGAUAUGCUAUUUUAAUCGUUUUCAAAUAUAAAAUUCGUUAAGAACAAUUAUAAGCUGAUUUUUCUUUUGUGAUAAUACUAGUAAUUGUAGUUUACUUUUCAAGUCGUCGUUUUGGCAAAAAUUUAUAGCAUUAAACCUAACGAUGUUGAUGAAAGGUUAGGCAUGGUUGAGGAACCAUAUAGAGAAAACUAAGACUCAUUUGAAAAGGGUGAUUUUAUUUUACCUUCAUGCUUGGGUUGUCGUGUUUGCAUUAAAUUUCUGAGAUAGUUUUAAAAAUUCCUAUACGAUUUCAUUGUUCUUUUCAUGUUUUUGGGAGUUAGAAAACUCGAUUUUGGGCAACGUUUUUUAGACGUUGAUAGUUUAUCUUAUAUCAAUAAUGAAAUUUAGUUGUGGAAUUGUCUUGCAUAAUCUAAGAUUGUUUUGUUUAACCUCUAUAUAUAUUUUAGUCACAAUGCAGUUUAGCCAAAAGUAUAAGUUCUUCUAUACAUAAAAUCAGUUAAAAGAUAAACUAUAUAUAAAUGAAAAUAUACUAUCACCUUAUUCUUUAUUUUCUUUUAGUUUUUAUUAAUUGUAGUUGCUAAAACAGAUGGCAAUUCAAUGAUGAAUGUUUCAAAAUGAUCUGUUUGACCUCUCAAUAUAUCAUGGAAUAUAUAUAUAUAUAUACUAGUUUCACGGCACGUGCGUUGCAUGUGUGUAUCAUAUCAUAUAGUAUACGAUGUUGUAAAAUAACAUCAAUAUUAUUAAAUUAAAGUUUUUUAGUAAAUAAUUAUAACGGAGAGAAUAUUGACAAGUGCUUUUAAAUGAUUAAUAUAGAUUUUAAUAGAGUUAAUUGUUUUUUGAGAUAAAAAUUACGAGAUAUCAUUGAAACAUUUAAAAAUGCAUUCAAAAAAUUUUAAUUUGGGGAAAAAGUAAAAUUUCUCAAGUAGUAUUGUUUUUUACUUUACUCAAUUUGGUAAACAAACUUAACCAACAAAACAGAAAAAUAUUGUCAAGAUAAAAAAAAUGGUCAGCAAAAUUUUUUCCUCUUGAGGUAAUGACUAUAAAUAAUGGACAUCAUUUAAGUAAAAUUAUUCUCUUAGAUAUUAAUAUUUGAAAUUUAAUAUGUGCAUGACACAAAGAACGAUUGUCAGAAAUAUUUUAAUAAUUUAUCUUUAAACGUUAUAUAUCUUUUACAAAAUAUUAUUAUUGAAUUAAUAUUUUUGUAAGACUAUGAUAUAGAUGUAAUUUUACAAAAACAAAAAGUGUACUUAUAUAGUGAAUGUCAAUACUUUUAUACGUAGAAUGUUAUAGAGAAAAAUAUAUUACGUCAAUAAUUAGUUCUAAAGAAAUUAUCCUUAUUUUGCCGCAUAACAUAUCAUAUAGAUGUUGUCUUAUAAGAGUAUCUAGUAUCUUAUAGAUGUUCUAUCGUGAUAUAAAACAUUUAAACUUUUUCAAUUAAAAAAUUAAAAGAUGAAUAAAAGUUGAAGUAUUAUUUAUAGAAUCUUUAAUUUGAUUUAAGAUCAUUUUAUGAUUAAUCACAAUUUUCUUAUCAUUUUUAUAUAGCUAGAAAAGAGUGUAUCUUAUGACAUAACAUUUUCUUAGAUCAAAAUGAACACAAAAUAACAAGAAAUUCAUACUUAAAAAAAUCAUACUCAAUGUAAAUAUAAAAAAGUAAAAAUAUGUGGAUCAAUUAAUAGCCAAUGAAGAAGGAAGGCGAAAAUAUAUGUUCAUGAUAUAUUCACCCUAGUGUUUCAUUUGAUUGAAAUCUCUUGCCACCAACACUUUACUUUCUCCGUUCAUUUUUACUUAAAUAUUUGUUAAAAAAUAUUUAUUAUCAUGGUUAUAUUAUCAUAUUAUAAGCAAAAGUGAAAAUCUAUUUUUGAAACAGUAGACUUAACAUCAAAACUACUAAUUCAAUGAGUUGUGACCUUUUUGAAGGGUUGUGACUUUUCGGAAGAGUUGUGACUUUUCCAAAGGGUUGUGACAUUUCCAAAGAGUUAUGACUUUUCCGAUGAGUUGUGACCUUUCUGAAGGGUUGUGAAUUUUCUAAAGGCUUGUGACAUCUUUUUGAUAAAGCACAAUAAGUAGUUUUUCAUACACUACCCUUUGUUGGCUAUUAAAAGAGCGGCUUCCUCAAAUUUUUAAACUACAUUUUAAAAAAAAAUAUUCAUUAUUCUUCUUCUUCUCCUUAAAACAUCCUAUUUAGUAUAUCUUCUAAUUUUUAUGACAAGGAACAAUAUGCACAUACUAAUACUACACAUUUUAACUAUAAAUGGAGGGGUUUCCUCAUAUUUUAAACUACGUUUUCUUUAUGUUUUUUGUUCUUCUUUUCUUAAAACCUCAAAGAUUGAUCUAUAGAUGUUGACAAUCUCAACGGUUAGUGAAAUUAGGAUACUCCCUAACAUGAAUAUUAAUUAAUCUAAUAUUCCAUCUAAAAACAUCAAAUUUAGUAUAUCUUCUAUAUUUUAUAACAUAUUUAUAUUAUAUUAUAUUAUAUUAAAAGUAAGAACACCAACAAUACAAUAAUAACAAAGUAAUGCACUAUAGAGAAGGGAGGAGAAAGUAUAUAAAAGAGGUGAAACUAAGAGAUUAUAAGAGUGGUUAAUUUUUUAUUUUAAUAACGUUCACGUUAUUUUUAAAAAUAGUGUGAUACGUGGUUUGAUAUUCACGUGCAAUGCACGUGCGUCAAAACUAGUUACCUUAAAAAUAUUACCUUAAAAGCAUGAACUCCUAACUUGAAUGUUAAAUUACUAUAAUAUCCCUAACUUAUAUAUUACCUUAAAAGCAUGAACUCCUAACUUGAAUGUUAAAUUACUAUAAUAUCCCUAACUUAGGUUGUGACUUUUCCGAAAAGUUGUGACUUUUUUCGAAGGGUUGUGAUUUUUCGAUGAGUUGUGACUUUUUCAAUAAGUUAUGACUUUUCCAAAGAGUUGUAACUUUUCCAAGGGUUGUGACUUUUCAGAUAAGACACAAAAAAACAUUUGUUCAUACUACCUUCUUCUUCGUUCGAAGUUUAGCGGAAUAUGAGGUACCACUAUUCUGAUGAAGUAAGUCGUUCUAUCCUAAGAAGGUAUAUUACAUAACCUCGAGUACUUCAAGAAAAUAAUUUUGAUGAUAUAAUAAUUAUUUUUUUGCUUAAUAUAUACAUUAGUAUGUAAUGUUCCAAUAUAUGAAGUUAACAUGAUGAUGUAGUCUAAAUUCAUUUGUUUUUGUGUAGAUAUAUGCUUCUAAAUAUCUUUUCCAAAAUUUAGAGAUUUGUCACGAUUUGUUUUUGAUGCUCAAGACAAAAGAAUGACUUUAUUUAUCAAUGUUACUUAUGUGAUUUAGACUCUCAAGAAGUUUGCUUCAAAAUAGUUAUUACUAUAUAAACAUUGUCAUUUUGUUUUACUUAUUUACUAUUUUUUAAUAUUUCAGUAUUUUAGACGAAGAAAAUUUCAUAUCACUUGUAAUAACGCCAGUUGAAGUUUGUAUUAGUUUAAUUUCUAUUAUUUAUUUAAUAGUUAAUUUUAUGAGAUAAAUAUUUUCAUUAAUGCAAAUAUAUAUUUAUAUUUGGGUAGGUAUUUAUAUUUAAAUUAAAGUAUUAUAUAUGUCACAAAUGUAUUAUCAAGUUAACGAGAUCUUCUAACUUCAAAAUAUAUUAUUUUAAAAUGUUUUGAGUUUUUUUUAUCCCAACAAAUGUGAAAAUAUGUGGAUAUAUAAAAUGUAGUUAUUCUCUUCACAUGUUCAUAUGACAUUUAAACAAUUUAACGUGGAAUACACAUGUAAAACACAUUUAGUUAGAUGACAAGAAAAAUACACAGCAAAUAUUGUCUAUAAGUUAAUAUUAAUGAGAUAAGACUAUUUACAUACCUCAUCAAAUUGAAAUAAAUAUAUACAUUAUUGCAUCUAACUAAUAAAAAUUUUCAUUGACUAUCUUCAUAGGUUUGCGUGAAUAAGAGAUAUAGAUGACGAUCCACAUUGAACAUUUACAAAAGAAUCUGCAAUAUUAUUUUUUGCUAUGCUUAUUAUUCAAAUCUUCGCUUAAAUAAGCAAUACUAUUUACUAUAACAUAUAUUUUUGAAAUUGGUAAGUCAAAAAAUUAGUUAUUUUAAAGCUUCUUAUUAACUACACAAAGCUAAAAUAAAAUCACUAUAUUAAACAUAAUUUUUCUUAAAAUAGUGUAAAACUAGUGAAUGGGCCAGAGACUUUGAGUCAAUGGCGGCUGGACACGUCGGUAUUAGUCAGAUAUUACUAAAUAUUUAUUUAUAUUACUAUAUAUGAAUGAAUAAUAUUUAGACUUUGGGAGUUUUGUUUCUUAUUUAUACACCCAAAUCUAGGCGGAAUUGUGAUUUUUCAUCGAAAUUUUGGAAUUUUUUUUGCUUUUGAUCGAAGCCAGAAAUUGUGAUUAUUGAUUGUGGAUUAAGGAAUUUUGGUGUGGAAUUGAAAUGGAUGGGAAUAAUUGGAGGGCCGCUCAGGCUCAGGGAGGUGGUGAAGGUGGCGGAGCGGCUGCCGGAGCUAUGGAUUCCGGUGAUUGGAGGACUCAACUUUUGCCUGAUUCGCGUCAAAGGAUUGUGAACAAGAUGUAAGCUUUUUCUAUUUUUGGUUUUGCGACUUGUUCUUAUUUUUUCAUUUGUUAAAAGGAUUUGGAAUUUUGAAUUUUAGGGCUUUUUUUUUGUGUGUGUUUUAUCGGUUAUCUGAAGAAACCCCAUUUCUUUAGAAGUAUUGAUUAAUCAAUCUGAUACAUGUUUUUUUCAGUGUUUUUCUGUUUUAUGGAAACUCACUUUAUCAGGUGAAUUUUGGGGUUUUUUUUGUUAAUGGUAUUGGGUGAGUUAAUUGGAAGUUUAUGCCGUAGUUAUUUCCAAUUUUGGUAAUCAGUCAAGGGUAACAGAUGCGUACACUCUAACCCCACGUAUGGGAUUACACUAGGUAUGUUGUUGUUGUUGGGGAUGGGGGUGGUGUGGUGGAUCAGUCAAGGAACUAGUUAAAGUGGGACAACCUAGUUUUACUCGCUGUGCUUUAUAUUUUGUUUUAGAUAUGUCGAAAUGGUAGGUUGUUGUUCGCGAUAAUUGGAUUAUAACUACUUAUAUUUGUUUAGAGGAAAUAAGUUUUAGUCUUUUGUAGCAGGGCGUGAUGUCGAAUUGUUUUUAAUAUAUUUGAGAAGUAUUUAUCUAGAUUGUUCUUUUAUCAAGAGUUUAUGUUGAUCUUUUGUUGAUAUGAUUGUAUAGAAUGGAGACCUUAAAGAGGCAUCUUCCUGUUUCUGGGCAAGAAGGAGUACAGGAGCUUAAGAAAAUUGCUGUGAGGUUUGAAGAAAAGAUCUAUUCUGCUGCUACAAGUCAGGUAUGUAGUUUAAACUUGUUUCUUAUUUGUUCGAAUUGUAAAGCUAGCUCAUAAACCACCCUUGCCUUUUUCAUCCGAAAUUAUACUUUUGAUGCAAUUUGUUUUUCAAGACCAUAUAAGGGAAUCACUCAUCCCUUUUUCAUCCAAUGUGGGACUCUUGUUUCAAUUUGUUCUCCGAGACCAUAGAAGCCCAUCCCUUUCAUCUGAUUUGGGACUCUUGAUGCAAUUUGUUUUUCAAGACCAUAUAAGGGAAUCACUCAUCCCUUUUUCAUCCAAUGUGGGACUCUUGUUUCAAUUUGUUCUCCGAGACCAUAGAAGCCCAUCCCUUUCAUCUGAUUUGGGACUCUUGAUGCAAUUUGUUCUCCAAAACCAUACAAGGAAACCACCCAUUUAUCCGAUGUGUGAUUCUUCUACAUAAAUGAUUCAAUUUUUUCUCCUCUUCAUUGAUGUUAUUCCUGCUUGUAUAAACUUGCAUUCGUCUUUCCAGUCAUCUAGACGCAUUGUAUUAGGGAUGGCAAGCGGACCGGUACAGUGCGGUUGCGGGCCAAACCCGCAUAAUCCUGCGAAGAUUUUGACCCCCCACCCAUAUCAUUAUGUUUAUGUAGAUUUUCGCACUCCUAAACAAACACAUGAAUCACUAGUUUAGCAAUUUUACUAAGACAUUGCUGACAUUAAAAAUAAUAAUUGGAUAUUCUUAUAUUUGCUCUCAUCAAGGUUUUUAUAACAGGGAAAUGGAAGAGCCUGAUACUAUAUAUAGUUCAUUUUAAGCAUGAAAUCUGUAAAUCUUAUUUAAUUGGUAAUCUAUUUAAGUAAAAUUACCUAUUACAGUGAUGUCAAGAACAAAAAAACAGGGUUAAUUCUGCAUAUUGACAUGUUUUUCUCACACGUAAAUGUUAUAGUAUCAUAUUAAUUAUUAUUCCCCAAGAGUGCUCACUAUAUAUAUAUAUUAUUAUUUUUUUUAAUUUUAAUUUUUAUUUUUGAUAACCGAGAAAUCCGUCUGUGACCCUCCACCCUUUGGACCAACCACAGCCUUCUAAACUCGGUGGAUAAUGGGCCCGCUAAGGCUGGGCACCGGAACGGGUUGUACCGGUACCAUUCCGGUUCGUUCCGGUCCGGUAGUAUUCCGAACGGGAUGGGAUACAUUGAACCGGUACACGGAACGGAACGGUACCAUGAUUUGGUACCGGUAUACCGGUACCAAAUCAUGGUACCGUUCCGUUCCGUGUACCGGUUCAAUGUAUCCCAUCCCGUUCGGAAUACUACCGGACCGGAACGGGACGGUUUGACCGGGUUGUUGACCGGUACCGGGAUGACCCGGACCGGAACUACCGGGAUGGAGGCUCGGUUCCGUCCAGUCCCACUAUAUACCCGGAAUGGACCCGGAACGGAACGGGGUAAACGGGACUGCACAUAUAGCUAUUUCAAAAAAUAAUUAUUUUUUGAAAUAGCUAUAUGUGCAGUCCCGUUUAUCCCGUUCCGUUCCGGUCCAUUCCGGUAUAUAGUGGGACUGGACGGAACCGAGCCUCCAUCCCGGUAGUUCCGGUCCGGUUCAUCCCGGUACCGGUCAACAACCCGGUCAAACCGUCCCGUUCCGGUCCGGUUCCGGUUCGUUCCGGUCCGGUGCCCAGCCUUAGGGCCCGCCCCUCUACCCUUCUCCACUUAAAUACCUAGCUUCGUUUUGCAUGGUGUGGGGCUUGAAUCUGCAACCUAAGUCACAAAUCCUCCACCUUUUGCCACUCGAGCUAUGCCUUGGGGGCAGUGCUUACUAUAUAUUUGUCAACACAAAAUGGAUAGAAUCAAGUUAUAUGGAAUUAAAUUAAAUAAUUUCAUAUUUGAGUGACCACAUAGAUUCACAAAAUCUACUUCACUAAUUUUUAUACUGACCACCACAAAAAAAUAAUUUAGAUCUAAUUUGAAUGUAUUUGCACGCCUAAGCAACCUCCACGAAGUAGGUUUAAGGUCUGUGUAAACUCUAUCCUUCCCAGAUUUGGUUGCUCGCCUAAGGAAGUUUAGUACUAAGAACUUAAUUUCUUUUUUUGUUCUUGUUCAAACCGCUGCUUGGAGAUUCUUUACUUCAGCCGACGCCCGAGCGUCUAUCGGAAACGAUCUCUCUAUCUUUAUGAGGUAGUGGUAAGGUCUGUGUACACUCCUCACCCUCCCCAAACACACUUGUGGGAGUUACACUGGAUACGUUGUUGUUUAAACCCCCUUCAUAGUUCUGCAACCCGCCCCACGCUGCAUCAGUGUUUUUAAAAAAAUAUUUGAACCCGCCCUGCAUAGCCUACCCUCAGUUUGCCAACCCUAUGUUGUAUGUAUUUUAACUUAUAUUUAUCUAAUAUUGCAGCAAGAUUAUCUUCGGAAGAUAUCUUUAAAGAUGCUGACCAUGGAAACAAAAUCUCAAACUCCUAUGACCAAUUCUGUUCAGCCAAAUCCUGCAAGUAGUGGUCAGAAUGCCCUUGGUCCAGGUGAACAAUGAAAUCUCAUGUGCUGUAUUUCAAAUAGGGAAAUCUUGUCUGACAGGACGUUUUGUAUAAACCUAAUUACUUCGUUCUGCUGUUGAAAAGUUUGCUCUCCGUAGCUAAUAAGCGUAAAGGAAAUUUUAGAUACUUGAACCAUUGUGCUAAUCUUUGAGUGAUCUAAAAUUUUGGUGACUAGCCCUAAUAAGUAUUGUUUGUGCUCUAGGUCAGAGUCCUAGCCCUGCUCUUUCUCUAUAUCCAGACUAUUCUUUUCUUAUUAGCUAACCAAGAUAAGGGACAGAAGAAAAGCUUAUGAUUUACAGUACUACAUGCUGUUGUUUAUUUGUCUAAUAAAUAACUUAGUCAAAGUUCUCUUUUGUAUUUUUGAAUCAGUUUUCACAAAGCAAUGACUUCUGUUUCUUGUAUCUUCAACUAAAAAAUACGUGUUUACAUUUGUUGCUUGUUGUAUUUUAUUUUAAUGUUAUUAUGUUUGCUAGUUAUUUGAUAGCAUCUUGACUGGCUUCUUUUUGAUUCAUUUCUGUAGGAUCGCAUGGUAUGCAAUCCCAAGUUAACGGCCAAGCACAGCAACUUCCUGUACCUAUGGUGGCCAAUCAAACUCAAACACGACAACCACUGUUGCAGCAAAACCUUCAGAACAAUAUGGCAUCAACUGGGCUGCAAAUUUCUGCUAGCUUGGCUCCAUCACUUCCUUCUGUGAGUAAUUUGACGCAGGGUACCAUGCCAAAUGUCGUGGGCCAGAAUUCAAAUUUGCAAACCAUGCAAAACAUGCCAAAUGUUGGUCAAAACUUAGUAGGAAAUGCCAUUGGGCAAGGCAUGCCACCUAAUAUGGUUGCUAAUUCUCAGAGGCAGAUGCAGGGAAGACAACAACAGGUUGUUUCUCAACAGCAACAGCAGCAGUCCCAGACAACACAGCAAUAUCUUUACCAGCAGCAACUGCAUCAGCAUCAAAUGAUGAAGCAGAAAUUUCAGCCGGGAAGCACAUCACAGUCCUUGAUGCAAUCUCACAUGCAGCAACAGCAACAGCAACAGCCUCAGGAGCAGCAGCAACAACCGCCACAGCAGCAACAAAACCUUCUACAACCUACUCAGACACAACCUUCUCAGCAAGCUAUGAUGCAACCUUCUUCAAUACAAUCAACUUCUUUGUCCAACCUUCAGCAGAAUCAACAGUCAACUGCUCAACAGUCAACUCAAUCUGUACUUCACCAACGGCAACAAUCAGUUAUGAGACAGCAGCAGGCGCCCAUGCUUCAUCAACAGCAAUCAUCAAUGCUACAGCAACCAAUUUUACCAGCACAACAGCACCAACAACAACAGCAGCAGCAGCAGCAGCAGCAGCAGCUGAUUGCACAACAGACAAAUGUUGCAAAUCUCCAGCAGAACCAAUUGAUGAGUCAACAGAAUACAAUGCCUGAUGUGCAGCAGAGGCUAGUGGGCCAACAGAACAACUAUAACAGUCUGCAGCAGCAGCAGUUACUUAAUCCACAAAACAGCUUUCAAAAUAUGCAUCAGCAGCAGUUGGGCUCUCAAAGUAAUAUUGCUGGGGUCCAGCAGCAACAGCUGUCUGGAAGUCAACAACCUGGUAACUCUGGCUUGACAUCUAAUCAGCACCCUAUCCAUUUGAUGCAACAACCAAAAGUUCCUGUACAACAACAAAUGCUGCAGAGUACUACAACCUUGUUACCAAAUCAAGGUCAACAAUCGCAGUCGCAGCCAGCACAACAGCAAAUGAUGUCUCAGAGCCAAUCACAACCAGGACAGUUACAGCCACCUUUGGGUUUGCAGCAACAGGCGAAUCAAUUGCAAAGGGAGAUGCAACAGAGGCUUCAACCAUCAGCCCCCUUGCUUCAACAGCAGAAUGUAAUGGAACAGCAGAAGCAGCUAUAUCAAUCACAAAGAGUCGCACCUGAAGCCUCAUCAAGUAUGUAUUUUUCUUAAUCAAAGAUUUCAAUUAGGUCUCAUAAAUCACUCUUUAGCAGUUUGUCAUUCUUAGAUAUUUCCACUUUUCAUGCCUUAUGUGUGUGAAGGUAUAGGACUUCUACACUAUUUUAACCACUGGUUUACAUUUUCUUUAUGUAAAAAUGACUAGUACUUGACUCCUUACAGCAUUAAAAUUUCAGGCAAGUUUUGGGAUAUGAAAGGUGAUGGAUAUUUUAGAUAAUAUUCAUACUUAUCUGAAAUACCCAACACCUUUCAUAUCCCAAAAUUUGCCUGAAAUUUUAAUGCUGUAGGGAGUCGAGUCCUUCAAUAUUUUUGUGCUAGCCUUAACUUUUGGUUUAUUUGUAGCAUCUUUAGAUUCUACAGCUCAGACGGGAAAUGCAAAUGCAGCUGAUUGGCAGGAGGAGGUUUACCAAAAGGUAUUUUUUUUUCAAUGGUAUUUCUAUAUGCACGGGAUGUUGAAAACUGAGGAAAUUACUGGAAAUUGUUGUUUUGGAAAUUGACAAGUGAACUGUAUUUUGAUAAAUUGACUGGUUGCAACAAUAUAAGAAGUAGCUGAAUGCUGUGAAAUAUUUCCUGUGAUUGAUGGAGUAAUAGAGGAGGUUUAUCAAAAUAAGUAUUCAGCAAAUUCAUGGUCAUACCCAUUCCCGCAAAGCACUUUUACGGUGUUCCAAUUCGUAGAAGAACUAUGAAAUUACGCUUAUUACAGCUAACUUGUAAGAAAUUGAUUUAUUCUCAAUUGAGAAGUGAGGUAUAACAACUAUUAUGCCUCAAUGUUAAUCAAGUUAGGGUCUGUUAUAUGAAUUAUUGUUGUCUAUGUCGCUUUAUUUGAGCUCUUCUCAAUCCAAUAUUAUAGCACUUGAAUUUCCUUACACUUUCUACUGGCAUAAUUGAGAAGUGAAGUAAAUAAAUUGAUUGGUUACACUUGUUUUUUGAUGAAGUGAUUAUAAAUAGUUGAAUGUUGUUAUGUAUUGUCUGAAUUCACGAGGUAAUAUGUCCGUAAGUUUGGGUCAGGGUCCUCAUAAUAUGUCCUUAAUUUGUUUCAUUCCAUGGAAACUAAAAAAAUUAUUGCUACAUUAAAGGGUAAAUCUAUUCAUGCAGGAAGUAUAUGCUUGCAUAUAUGGCUAUUAGAAAAUAUUGUUCUUUGUGAAAAGACACAUUCAUCUGUAUUAGUUGGUAACUGCUUUUGUUUCUGUUUUUUGGGAUAACACGAGAAAUUCAUUGUUUCCUGUUUUGAAAUGUGGAUGAUAAUGGGUCUGCCCCUCUAGCUUUUUGUACUUAAAUACCCGACUUGGUUUACUAGCUAGGAGUGUAAGUUGGAAUAUUUUGAGUUGGCCAAGAAUAAAGAUAUAACAUCAACAUGCCUUUUUACUUGUGAAGCUAACUACAUUGUUGUUAUUCAUUGUUUACCCUCAUUUUGCUUCACUGGUAAUAAACGUGUAAAGUGAAAAAAAAAUGAUGUUCCCACACUAAACCAUAUUAUAUCUCCCAAACAAUUAUAGAAAAGUAUAUUCUAAUUCCUGCUGGUUGGGCUGGUCUAUUAUCACAUCUUGGAACUAGACCCUUGCUAUGAGCAUUGAGCAAAACGUGUACCAAGAAGCUGAAGGAAGCAAAGUUCAGUUUAUUUUUUCAUUCACAUGUUGAAUCAUGUAAAAUGGAUUCUUUAAUGAGUUUUAGUCUUCCUCUUCCACUUCACUUUUAACCUUUUUAUCUGGAAGGUUCUUUCAUGAGGAUUCUCUAGUUUGUUCUCUACUGUAUCGGAAAGUUGAUCUAAUUAUUACCUAUCCAUAUGGGAAUGCAGUCUUGACAUGUGCGCAAUUCUGAGCUGAUGCAAAUUUUUAAUGCAGAUAAAGUCUAUGAAGGAGUCGUAUUUGGCAGAGCUCAAUGAUCUAUACCACAAAAUUGCUUCUAAAGUGCAACAGGUAUGUCAUCAACAUUUUAAUCCAUUAUUAUCAUUUUUGGAGCAAUUCUACCAGCUGUGUAUGGUGCAGCAUGUUGGAUACUAGUUUUUUUAUAUAAUUUGAGAUGUUAAUAGUUCUUAGAAAUCAUUCUUCUUAUGGGGACAGUACUUGCAAUCAUAUAUUUCUCCCCUACUUAUCCUAAUUGCUUCAUCAUAGUUCUAAAUUAUGGUUUGACUCCCUUGAAAGUUUUGUCAAUUGACACACCAUCAUUUGCAUGUAGCAUGCACCAAGGUGUACUGCAUUUGUAUUAUAUUGGUUAGGUCAUCCAUAGCUAGGUUAACCAGUACUGGUAUCAGGAUAAAUUUCAUAAACCUAUGGUUAUUGGGAACUCCUCUCAUCUAUUUGCAUGUUUCUCAUACCUAUUAUAGCUCCUUCUUACAUAUAUUCUCUGGCAUUUCUAGUUGAUACAAACUCCUUGAUACGCCCAUAGGUAAUCCUAGAAUAUUAUCUAACUGAGAACUGAUGCAGAAAGCUCAAAACUCUAAAUUCUCAGUUUUGCAUCUUUGGUUCCUUUCCAGCCAUCUUGAGAAACAGUUGUAUCAUACUGGGAAUACAUUGUAGUGCGGUUAAUUCCUUUUUAUUUCUUGCAUCUGCAUCAUUUGUCUGUGUUGAAGCGUUGUGUAUGAUUGUGAAGUAUAGGUGGAGGACACCAUAAAAUGAGCUAUUUACACAUAUCUAGGUGAACACUGUGAUGUAGAUGCCACUUUUAUGUUCCCUUGGGGGAAGGGUUCAAGGCUUCCCUAAUUCUUCGGGCAAGGGCUUGAUUUGUCUAAAUUUUAAGAGCGCUUAAGUCAGCAUUCUGUUGAAUUGGGCACCUGGCUACUAUGUUUUUUUUUUUUUUUUUGAUAACCGAGAAAUCCGUCUGUGACCCACCCUUUGGACCAAUCAUAGCGCCUUCUAAACUCGGUGGAUAAUGGGCCCGCCCCUCUACCUUUCUCCACUUAAAUACCGGGCUUCGCUUUGCAUGGUGUGGGGUUUGAACCUGCGACCUAAGCCACAAAUCCUCCACCUUUUGCCACUUGAGCUAGGCCUUGGGGGCCACCUGGCUACUAUGUUAUUUAUUUUUUAUGUGGUUUUAAGUUUUACUCCCUUUUUCUUUGCUGUGGGAGGGAGGUACUUGAAGCAUGACUUUUAAAAGUUUGCAAAGGGCAAGAAACAAGACUUUGACUAAACUGAUUUUUUUUUCCUGAUUUUAAGCAUGAUUCUCUUCCUCAGCGUCCUCAAAAUGAGCAAAUUGAAAAGCUCAAGAUGUUCAAGAUUACGCUGGAACGCAUUGUGCUUUUCUUGCGGCUUAACAAGCAGGAUAUUCAACUUUCUCACAAGGAAAAGUUGGUUUCGGUUGAGAAGCACAUAAGUUUCUUUCUUAGUUCCAAUAGGCCGCGCAGCAAGCCUUCUUCUUCUCCACUGCAGGGACAACUUCCUCAGUCUUCCAUGCAGCUUCAGCAACCACAAUCUCUUGAUGGUCAAUCUAAUCCAUCGAUGCAACCCGUACAGGGUUCCAUGGCAGCAAUGCCGCAGAAUAAUCUCACCAACUUGCAACAUAAUACCUUGUCUGGCGUACCGACAAUUUCCAACUCCCAGCAACACAUGAUAAAUACAGUACAGCCUGGUUCCACUGUGGAUUUGGGACAGGGUAAUUCAUUGAGCUCACUGCAGCAGGUGGCUACUGGCUCUUUACAACAGAAUCCUGUUAACAGUCCUCAACAAGUUAACAUGAGCUCAUUAGGCUCACAAAGUGGAACAAACCCCGUACAGGCAAACCUCGGUUCCCUACAGCAAAAUUCAAACGCCCUGCAACAGUCACUUCCUAAGCAGCACGAGCAGCAAAUGUUGCAGAACCAGCAAUUAAGACAGCAAUACCACCAUAGGCAUAUGCAGCAGCAACUUUUUCAAAGACAGCAGAUAAUACAACAGCAGCAAGCGAAGCAACAGCAGACCUCGCUAUUGCCAACCCACCAGAUGUCUCAGCUUCAACAGAUGACUGAUGCUAAUGACCUAAAGAUAAGGCAGCAAAUGGGGAUAAAAACAGGAGUUUUACAGCAACAACAGUCAGUUGGCCAGCGUGUUGGAUCUCAUCAUCCCCAAUUGAAGCCAGGAAUAUCUUCACCUCAACUCCAUCAAGCAUUGUCUCCUCAGGUUACCCAACAUCCUUCUCCACAAAUUGACCAACAAAAUAUGUUGGCGUCUCUUACCAAAGCUGGGACUCCUCUCCAAUCCGCAAGCUCACCAUUUGUUGUCCCUUCUCCUUCAACUCCCUUGGCUCCAUCUCCAAUGCCGGGGGAUUCUGAAAAAGUUUGUGCUGGCCUUGGAUCACAUACCACAGCUGGAAAUAUAAUGCAUCAGCAAGCUACUGUUGCUUCUGCACCUGCCCAAUCCCUUGCAAUUGGUACUCCUGGGAUAUCAGCCUCACCUUUGCUUGCUGAGUUUACUCCUCUAGAUGGUACACAUGCCAAUGUCUCAGCUGCUGUUCCUGGCAGGUCAAGUGUUGAACAACCAUUGGAUCGCUUGAUGAGAGCGG
Molecule: long non-coding RNA, 46658 nt
Filed under: Solanum tuberosum (potato)
Lineage: Eukaryota; Viridiplantae; Streptophyta; Magnoliopsida; Solanales; Solanaceae
Description: long non-coding RNA (STUB_LNC004361)
Source: RNAcentral